ACUCCUCCGGUGAACAUAUCAUAGUAAGCACCUUGAUUUAGCAGAUAGCUCUUAUCAUCAAUGAUUGGAAUCCAUAAAGGAUAUUCAAUUUCAGCCAUCCUAAUAAAUUCCUCCGUAGCUAAAUUCACAAGCAUAGUAGCUGUUGCCUUAUCAAUGAUAGUCUGUCUAGAUAAUGGCCUGAUUAAUUCUUCUUCAACAACCGUCUCUUUAGUAACAUUUUGUUGCCAUUCUCUGGAUGCGAUCAUAGCCUCAGGAUUAGCAGAGCUACUUGGACCAACUGAAGAGGAACCAACAUUGUUAUUGGCAAAUUUCUUGCCAGCGUAUUUGGCCAUUAGGUCUGUCAAACGGGCAAUCUGGAAAAGAAAACGAAGUUCAAGUAUUAGUAAUAAUUGACAAAUGCUCAAAAAAAAAGAAGUAAUAAUGGAUAAAUGCUUAAGUUAAGAAAUUUGACAAAUUAGUAGAAUUUUAGUACCUUUUCUUUAAGCCAAAUAUUCUUCAUCCUCAACUAAUGUCGAUCAAGAGAAUCAUUACUUGUAGCUUGAGAGUUAGCACAAGUCAAACAACAAACAUUGAUAAGAGCUGUUUUAAACUUUAUGUUCUCCUCACGAAGCUUUUCAUUCUCAAGCUUGAGAUGUGCAUUUCUCGCACGUUUUGUGUGUGCCUACAAGAAACCUUAAAGUCAUCAACAUUCACAACAAGCAAAUUUUCACUGACUAUAGUGUGACAAAGGUUUUCUUUUUUGUCGAAAUGAUAGGAUAAUUUCAUUAUAGUGAAGAAUUUACAUAUGCGAGUAACGGCUCAAGAGAACUGUACAUUAAGUGUUCAAAGACACUGAGGAAAGUUUCUUUCCUCAUCCAAAAUAAUGCCUAAGGCAUCAACACUUAGUUUUCUACUAUCUUCCAUAUUUUCUUCCCUAACCACACAAAAGGAGCACAUGCAAAACAAACUCUGCAUGUUAGCGAUAUCUUCCAGCAAAGUGGCCAUUCUACUGUCUAAGGGUCUCCGUUGAGUUAUUUGUCUCAUCAACUCCUUGUUAUGUGAGUUGAGCUGGACUUUACUCCACUGAUAUUGUGCAGCUUUGCAUAAGACCAGUUUGAUUGCCACCGCGUCAUCUUGGACUUUGUUCCCUAAACUUCUCUCUUUCAAAGCCCAUUCUGCAAUUCUAGUGUUUAGAGUUAUCCUAGCUGUGACAUUGAUACCAAGUGAGGUUUGUCCUUUCUGCCUAGUCGUUGCCACGUCCAAGACUAUGGUUCCUUCAGCUUCUUGGCCCUGGCUUUGCUGUACAUGCAUGUAUGCUAUUUCUUCUAUGCUCUUCCUUCCCUUAGAGUUCUUCAUUUCUUCCUGUUCCAACCAUUCUUUAUGAGCUCUUUCAACUAUUUUAACUGGUGAGGAUCUGUUAGAGCUCUCAAAUUCAUUUUUGUUUCUAUAUUUCCACACAUGCCACAAAAUAUUAGCAGUCAAACCAAUGUGUUGCAUUCCUUCCGGUCUUUUCCUUGCCUCUGAAAUUCUGAGCCACCAUCUUUUAAAGUCUCCCUGCUGGUCUUUAGCCCCAUCCUAUUGAAUAGGAGCAGCCUUCCAUAUGUCCACAGUGUGAGAACAGUUUAGCAGUAGGUGUUCGAUCGUUUCCUGUUCUUCCCCACAUGUUCUGCACAUUGGAUCACCAACUCCUGUUUUUUUGCACACUACUUCUCUUACAAGCAAUGCUCCUUUUAAACACUUCCAAAUGAAAAUCUUAAUUUUGUGUUUGAUAUUGAGCUUUCACAACGUGUGUCACAUCUGUUUAACUUGUUGGCUCUCAUCUGUGUAACUUGUGCCAGCUUCAUCAGUUUUGCAUUUCCUUACACUACUAUUUUCCUCCAUUAGGAUGUUAUAGCCUGAGCUGACUGUAUCAGUUCCUCCUGCCUGUGGUUGCCAAAAAUAACUGUCUUCCCUCCCUAUCAAGCUUAUAGGAAUACUUAGAAUCCUCUCAGCAUCAUCCCUGUUGAAAGUCCUGAAAAUGAUGUUCUUAUUCCACCUUUUGUGACAGAUUAGUUCAUUCACCAUCUUCAGCUCACAAUUAAUAGGUCUACUAGAAGUUGGUUUACCUGUGCUUGACCUUGGUAUCCAUUUAUGAUCCCAAACACUGGUACUCCUCCCAUUUCCUAUUCUCCUUAUCAGAUCUUUAUCAAUUAAGCUCCUUUCUCCCAUUAAUCCUUGCCAGAUCCAAGAGGCAUCCUGGGGUGUUUUGCAAUUUAAAAUGGACUCCUUGGGAAAAUAUUUAGCUUUCAGUACCUUGCUGACUAGGAGAUUUGGCUUGGUGAGAAUCCUCCAAACCUGCUUCCCUAACAGUGCCUGAUUGAAGGCUUCAAGGUCCUUAAACCCCAACCCUCAUUCACUUCUCUUCAUUGCUAUUCUUCCCCAGGAAAUCCAAUGCAUUUUGUUCUUACUAUUUGUUUCCCCCACUAGAAGUUGGCCAUCAGUGCACUAAUGUCUUUGCAAAGUUUCCUUGGUAAUUUAAAGCAAGACAUGGCAUACGUUGGCAUGGCCAUUGAAACUGCUUUCAACAUUACAACUUUCCCUGUUGUGCUAAGGAACUUGUUUUUCCAGUCCUGCAGCUUCCUUUUUAUGUUUUCUCUUACGAAGCCAAAAAUCUGAUCCUUAGUUCUUGAGAUCACCAUUGGAAGACCCAACUAUUUCCCUUGUUUUGCUUCAACCAUCCCUCCCAGUGCAUAUCUCUUCCCUUUGCUCACAGUACAUGUUCCUACUAAAAAAGACUGCAGAUUUGUCAAGGUUGAUCAGUUGUCCUGAAGCUGCUUCAUAGAUUUUGAGGACUUUCAUGAUUUCAGUGGCCUGUUGCUUGUUAUCUUUGCAGAAAAUGAGGGAGUCGUCUGCAAAGAAAAGAUGAGUAAUAAUAGGUCCUUGCCUGCUGAUUUUCAGUCCUUUGAUCCUGCUACUUUCUUUAGCUUUCCUCAGUAGGUUAGAGAAACCUUCUGAGCAGAUUAAGAAUAAAUAAGGAAACAAGGGAUCUCCCUGGCGUAAUUCCCCUUCCUGGUGACACAAAACCUUUAAUUUCUCCAGUGCAGUUGAAAGAAUAGGUUACAGUCUUCAUGCAGCUGGUGAUCCAGUUAAUCCAUUCUGUACAAAAUCCCAUCCUUUUCAUCAUUGCCUGCAAAAAAUUUCACUCCACCUUAUCAUAAGUUUUGGCUAUAUCUAACUUGAUUGUCAUAUAACCAUCUUUCUCUUGUCUUUUAUUUUUGAGGUAGUGCAUGUACUCAUGAGCUAUAAUCACAUUGUCCAAUAUCUGCUUAUCUGGAAUGAAAACAGAUUGAGUUUUGCUUAUGCAUUUAUCCAGGACAGAUUUCAGUCGAUUGGCCAGGAUUUUAGAAAUGAUUUUGUAUAGCACACUGUAAAGGCUGAUAGGUUUAUAGUUUUUCAAACUGGUUGGGUUCAGGAUUUUGGGAAUCAGAGAGAUAACAGUAUGGUUGAUAGAUUUAAGCAUGAAACUUGAGCUAAAGAAAGCUUUGAUUGCUGGGAUAACAUCACCCUUAAUGAUGUUGCAGAACCUUUGAAAAAGCAAAGGUGACAUCCCAUCUUGUCCAGGAGCUUUUUCAGGGUGCAUCGAGAAAAGUGCAGCAUAAAUUUCAUCCUCCUCCAUUAUUUUAGUAAGCUUUUCAUUCAUCUCCUGAGUUAUGGAGUGUGGAAUACCCUCUAGAAUUUCUGACAUAUCACUCCUCCCUCCACUAUUAAACAAUUCCCUAAAGAACUUAGAAAUUUUAGCCACUACUUCAUUCUCAUUCUCUGUCCAAGAGCCAUCCUCCCUUUGCAAUUUUCUAAUCCUAUUGUUCACUUUCUUCCCCUUAACAUAGGUGUGCAAAUACUUGGUAUUUUUAUCACCAUCUCUUAACCAGCUAAUUCUUGCUUUUUGACUCCAGAAAUUUUCUUCCUCCUUGUAUGCUGAUUUCAACUGAUAUUUGAUUUCUGCAUCUAAGUCCUCGACUCUCUCCAAUUCCUUUUUCAGGUCAGAGAUUCUACUCUUAGAAUUUGCCUGGAAUGAAUUCCUCCAUUUCAGAAGUUCAAUUCUGCAGUUUUUGAUCUUCUUAGUAAUUCUGAACAUUCUAGACCGUUGUUCCACCUUUUGCCAGGCUUUCUCCACCACCUGUUGAACUCUUUCUCUUUGAAGUCAUCUCUUAUCAAAAUAAAACCUCUUUUUCUUUUUUUCCUUAUCUGGGGCUGUGUUUGGCAAUAGCAUACAGUGAUUAGAAGCAAAUGUAUCAAUGUGCUGACAUCUUGCCUUUUCAAAAUCUUGGAACCAUUCAAAAUUGCAUAAACAUUUGUCUAACCUUUGUCUUACCUCUCCUUCAUUAUCCCAAUGAUUGCUCCACGUCCAAGGUUGUCCUUCAAAGUUAAUAUCUAUCAAACAAUUCUGGUCCAUGAAGUCUUUAAAGUCCUUAAAGCUCCUCUCCUCUCUGACUACUUCUCCCCAUUUUUCUUCAUUGGAUAGAAUAUCAUUAAAGUCCCUAGCAAUCAUAAAUCUAGUUCCCCACAACCUUUUCCUAUCACUCAGGACCCUCCAUUUUUCCUUCCUGAUCAGAAGCUCACAGCUAGCAUAAACUCCAACAAACCACCAGACAAUCUGAGUGUUAUUGUCUUCUAUUUUAGCUUCAAUGGUAAAUGCUGUUCUGUGUACCUCCAAUAUCUGUGUUUCUUUUGUCCAAAACAAGGCCAUUCCACCUGCCUUAUUCAUUGCUUCUACUGCCACGUUACUAUCAAACCUGAGACUCGAGCAACUCUAUCUAUGGCUUGUUUCCUAUUUUUUGUCUUAUUUAAGAAAAUCAGAUUUGGAGAGGAGAGGUUGUUCACCUCCCUCAGAUAGGGAACUGUCAAGGGGCUCCCCACUCCUUGACAGUUCCACACCAAGACUCUCAUUUCCCUUGGGAGGUCCCAUUAAGGAAGGACCCCACUUCCUCUCCACUCAUCUCAGAAGAAUACAAUUCGUCCACAGGUUUAGUCUUUUUCCAUUGCACCAAACCUUUGUUUACCUCCUCCAUCUCUUCAUCCCUAAUCAGUACAUUCCUCUUACCAAUAUUUAAUUGGCUCACUUCAUUCCCAUUUAUUUCCUUCAAAGGCCUUCUGGUUUUAGUUGGGGACUUCAACCUUCUAAACAUCCUUUUGGUUUGCUUAUCUAUAGCUUCCUGAACCUUCCCAGUCCUUUGGAGUUUUUGUUGGAUCACUAACUCCCCUACAGUAAUCACUCUCACUCUAUUUUCUUGAUCCUUCUCUUGCAAGUCUAAACCUCUGUCCUUCUCCAUUUCUUCCACCUCAGUUGGGAUUUGUUUCACUUCCUCAGCCUGUAUCACUAGAGAGAGAUCUAGCUUCCCCUUAUCUAGGCACAAGGAACCCUUACUGCAUCCUUGUGCAGAUUCCUUAUCUCCCAGUUCAAUUGGUGGCUCUCCCAAACCUUGUUCAAUCCUCAUAUCCUCCAUUUCCUUCAUUGGGUCGUGGUUGUUUUUUCCUUCCUUAUCAGUGGUCUUAAGAAUUUCCAACAAUCUUUCAUUUAUUUGAGUCCUGAUUCUCUCCUGCUCUACCAUUUCUCCAUUCUAGAAUUUUCAGUAUCUUUUGUCACUUGACAGAUCAGUCCUAACUGGUUUUUUUGUGGGGAAUUUUUAUUAUUUCCUGCUCUCAUCCAGGGCCCGUACUAGUUUUCUAAGAUGCUUCCCACUAUGGUUCUCUUCUCUUUGCAGGAUCUUUCACUGUGCCCUACUAUCCUACAGUUGUAGUAAAAAUCUGGGCAUCUUCCAUACUUAAAUGCCACCCACUUCAUAAAUCCUGCUAAUUUUACCAUUGUUCCUCUCAGCAGAGGCUUGGACAAGUUUGUUAAGGCUAGAAUUUUCAAAUGUCUACCCUCUUUGCCCCCUGACUGAGGGAUAACCAUCUCUUUAACUUCUUUGAACACUGUCCCAAUCUUUCUUCCUACCUCUUUAGAUAGCCAGUGUACUGGCAGAUUCCAGACCUGCACCCAUAAAGGUGUGUUCACAAAAGCUUUAAAAUUUUCUUCUAUUCCUUCUGACCACCUGUUCAACACUAACAUUUGAUUAUCUAUCAUCCAAGGGCCACCUUCAGCAAUGCUAACUUUGUCAUCAGGGUUAAGGAUGUUAAAUUGAAACAAAUUGGUUCCCAGCUCCAUCACUGUCGAAAUUUAUUAUGGAAUGUAUAAAAUAUAGUUAGUUAAUUACCUCAUUUUGCAUACGCUUAUUUUGGAACCAGUACUUCACUUGCUUUGGGUCCAAUCUUAAGUCGCGGGUAGAGCUGUUAAUCGAGCCGAGUAUUUGGCUGCCGACCUCGACUCGAGUUUAAUUCGAGCCGAACUUGACUCGAGCUCGUUAGGAAAACGUGUUUUAAAAUGUGUUCGAACUCGACUCGUUAAAUAUACAUGUGGCUCGAGCUCGAGCUCGAGCUCGAUUCGUUUAUCACAAACGAGUCGAGCUUCACGAGCUCGAGAUCGUGCAAAUUAACCUUAAUAAAAACCUAUAAUUUUUAAUUUUUAUAAUUUUGAUUUCUAAAAUGACAAAUAUGCCUUUCAUUAACGAGCUCUAACGAGCUACUCGAGUAUCAAACGAGCCGAGUAAGCUCGGCUCAUUAACUAAACGAGCAUGUUUCGAGCUUGAGCUCGACUUGUUAACCAAAAUUAACGAGCCGAGCUCGAACCUUAACGAGUCGAGCUCUAACGAGUUUUCGAGCUACUCGAUUGACUUAACAGCUCUAGUCGCGGGCAAGUUGUACCUUUUGUGGUUUCUUCGGCUUAGGACACUGUUUGAAAAACCUAAAAAUUCGAGAAAAAAGAAUGGGUUUAGACACACAAAAAAUGCUAAAUUUUGUUGAAUGUUUCUAUACUUCAGGUCAAGAAUUAUGUAGCAAUUGGUAAAUUUAAGAAUUUUCAAAAGCUUACUCUUCCAUUUCAUGAAUUUGUUGAGGGGUGUGGCGAUGGUAACCUUUUCUCUUAUGGCCAUCUUGGUUAUCUUCACUCGAUUUGUGGGCAUCUUCAUCGUCCGGAAUGCCAUGAUCAGAUGCAUAUGACAUCACAUCAGCUGGGAGAAUAUUACUAUUUCCAGGAUUAGCUUGAAAAGAGUAGCAAACGAUGUUAAGAUUAAAAUCUUGAUUCUUUUGAUAUAUAAAUGAAUCACAUGAUUGAUUCUUACAAUAAUUAAACGUGUUUGAAAAAGAAAAUAAGAGUAAUGGUUUAAAAAAUUAGAACUAAAAGUAAUUUCCAAUACCUUAUUUUGAUUGACUACAAAUUAGAUUUAUAUGUCUUUGUUUGUUCAAAGUACAUAGAUGUUAAGUUUGAUAUAUAUGGAAUGACUUAAUAGAUGUUUGUGAAUUAUUCACCAAAUUUUGUACAUUCUAAAGUAUCUUAUGUUUCAUUGGCAAUAGUCCCAAGCUGAAUUGCAAGAAAUGGAUUAAGAUGGAGCUGACCAAAAUUUAGCACUACUUUUGUUCCUCGGUUAUAUUAAUACCUUUUUCCAAGUUUCUUAUUAACUUAAGAAAUUAUAAAUUCCAAGUUUUCAAUUGAAUACUUUAGAGUGAUAAAAUGAUAUGAUACUUAUCAAAAUUUUUGAAUGAUGUUGUAGAAGUAAUGAAGGCUAAAAAAUCUAACAAAUUUUUUUUGGCCUUCUUAUCUAUUACAUAUACCAAAAAACUAAAGAUUGAAAGACAAAGCAAUGAUUUCCUUUUUUCCGUAUGAAACUCUAUAAGAUUUUUCUUUCUAUAAAUAGGCAAGACAUUAAUUAUGCUACUAACAUUUAAAAGAUGAAAAAAAAAAGCUAAAGAAAUGAACCACUACUAAAAAUGACGCAAACAUGAAGUGAUAUUCAAUGGAGUUUUUGAUGAAAUGAAACUGAAAAAUGUUUUCUAGAGUUGACCUAUCCAGCAAUAAUCCCAGAAGAAGAUGCUAAUUGUCUCAUUUCCUUCAAUGACCACCGGAUGUUGUCCAAUCAUAAUUGUUCUCGCCAUUUCAAACUCACAAAAGCCUACAAAAUCCUGUACAAAUAGAUAAUUGUGUUAGGAAUUGGUUAAUUGUGAUUAUUAGUUUUCUUAUCAUUUUUUUACUUUUGCAGUACAACUCUUAUCCAUAUAUUUUUUUCCUUUUGUUUUAGUUUCUUGUAAUCACAAAUGAUAAGAGAAAUCUUACUUGGAUGAGUUUAUUAGAUAACAAUAACACAUCCUCAAUUUUUUGCUUUCUAUGGAAAAUAGUAUGUGUUUUCCUAGAGUUCUAGCAUCAAUUGACUAGAAAAAUAAGCCAAAGUUCAACGCUAGAGGUAAUAAAGUUUUUUUUUAAGUGUAAGUGGGAGGUCACGAAUUCCGGAUCUCUUAUUUACACUCCCUUCUCUCCUACCAUCCAAUCCAUUCAUUUCCCCUAGAGUUAGAGUUAAUAAAGUUCAAUGUAUAAACUAGAUGUAUAAACAAGUCACCAGGCAAGAAAAAAAAUGAUAAGUGCAUAUCAAAGCAUAUCAAAGAUCUCCAUCCCUAUGAGUAAGGUAGUUUUCUCUUCACUAUAUCAAGGUAUAAAUGGAUUUUGAUAUACAAUCACAAAAAUGUCUCUUUCAAGGAACUAUUAAAUCUAGAAGAAUAUAGUGUCUCUAACCCUUUUUCUGUGAAUGCUAAAAAAAUUGCUUAACAAUAGCUGCUUUUUGGGCAAAAAUUUUCACAAUCCUUUUAUGCAAAGAGUGAUGCUAGAGAGAGAUUACAAUAUAUACGAAUUUGAACGAAGAAAGAAUUGGAGGAUAGAGCACGGAUCAAACCUGAAGGGAAGAAUUUCACUACUACAAAAAUGUCCUUUUAUGACAUUAAAAGCGUCAUUAUAGCUCGAUGUAAUGACGUUUGAUCUAUAAUGACGCUCUGCUAGAAACGUCGUCCAUUCUAGCGUCACUAUAAGUUUUAUGACAGUUAUCACGAGUCCUAAUUUAUAGUUCUAUUGGCAUUUAUAAAGGUCAUUAUUUGUCGUUUUAAUGACACUUUCAAAUGACAAGAAAUGCUAGAGAACAGUUAAGGUUAUAUGAAUCUAAAGUGAUACUCUUAGCUGUCAUAUAUUGGAUCUAUCUUGACGCUUCUAUUAUGUAAGUACAAUAAGAUAUUAUGACACAUUUGUAGUAUAAGUAGAAUGAAAUAUUAUGACACUUUUAUGGUGUAAAUAGAUUAGGUUGUUCUGACACUUGUUAACAUGAAAUUUUGUGAAUAUUAUGAACCGCAAAAAUCGAAGUUGUGACACUUUUAAGUGUCAAUACAUCAUAUUGCAAUAGCCUUGUAUACCAUCCGAAUUUUUAUACCCAAAAGCAGAAAUCACAUUUCAUCCUGCCUGCACAAUGUAGAUUCUAAUUUUUGGAAUAAUAAAGUUAUUAGUACCACCUUAUAAAGAAAAACCAAAGUGAUUUACGUUUUCAUAGUAAUUAGUGCAAUACAAUCAGCCAAACUGGUGCAAAAGUAUAUUAUCCAAGCAACUUACAUGGCUGCUAUGUCAACAAAUUACAUGCCAAUUCAGAGAUUUUUCCAUAGUUAUGAGUAUUGCAGUAGCAUUGCCAAUACAUAUCAAAGAAGCAAUAGUUCAACAAGAACUCAACAAAAAACGCAUUGACAAUGCCUUCAAAAAGUAGCCAUUUGACCCAAGGAUCCUUUAGUUUUCUUCAAGAUUCACCUACAAGUGUUAUAAACCAAGAAAUAGAAGUUACAAAUCACAUCUACAGCUCUUCUUUUACAGUUUUAAUGUUAGAAAAUAAAUAAAAACUAAGUUAAACAAAUGAUAAAGAUAAGAUAAAAAGAUUACUGGGUUUAUUGGCCAAGCAAUAGCUACUCCAAUUGCAUCUCCAAUCUUGUGAAAAUUAUGGUAUGGCCUCAUUAACUCUUCAUCAUUCUCCACAAGCAUAUUCACAUGGAUUUCACACCAAUGUGAUCCCAAUGGUGUGUCACCAACUUCAGCAGUUGGAUCCAAAUUUCUAACCACUCCAACAGCACAAAUUUUGUUCGAAUCAACCAUGCUUCUUAUUGUAACUUUAUCCCCAACCUUGAAAACAAAUUUUAUAAAGCAUAUAACCACAUAUAAGAGAGCAAGUCUUGAACAGAUAUUCAAUACAUAGUACCACAAGAACCAACCCAAAAUGACAGCCACGACAAGUACCAAAACCAAAGUGCAGUCCAUUACAAUCAAUAAUGAUAUCCAAAACAAGAAUCUCAACAAUUAAGUAACAUAUAGCAAUUACGAACAUGUUCAUGAAAACCAUUUGUGAACGCAACAUCUAAAGAAAGUCAUAAUUGAACUGUUUAUUACCUUUAUCGGCCGAAGAAUAGCAUUUGAUGACUGUGAAGUAGAUCUUUGCUGAGAUGGUGAACUUUAUUAAAUUGUAGAAUUUUUUUUGCAUCAAUAUUCGGCUGUUCUAUUUCUAAUCUUUCUCUCAUAUCUAGGUCCUAGUUUAGAACUCCUAAUGUAUCUUGUAACAACCCCUGCAUAGCAUCUAUGGGAUUGAGUGGUGGAACUUCAUUUGAUGAGCCAUGUGAAGAUGUAUGAUGCAAAUUCUAAGAUAGCUCUCCAUGAGCUAACCAUUGAGUAGAUCCCUUAAUAAACCCUUUCCAUAUCAAGUGUGAUUUGGCCUGCUCUCUCGUGACAAAUACCCCAUUCCCACACCUAAUGCAUGGCCAUAAAAUCAUCUCCCAUAUACUUCCAUUCAUAAAUGCAAAAUCAAGAAAAUCUUCUAUACCAGCUUUAUACUCAUCACUUGAUCGUGACAUACUCAUCCAUCUUUUAUCCAUGUUCACAUAGAUUCUAAUUAUAUAAAAAAAAAAGCUUCAUUAGCAUCUACAAGAUAAUUCUACCUAAACUAUUACUGAUUUUUGCAUGAAACAUUUACUUAGAUAAGAAAACUAAUUUCAACGAGAUUAAUAGAAGACACAAAUCACUCAUGGAAUAUUACAACAGUAAAGCUACCAAUAGGAAGCUUUUUAAAAGAAUUUUACCAACCCAAAAAAUGCUGUUUUUAAAGCAAUUUACUGUCUAAGCCUAUCAAACUUCAAAACAAAUCAAUUUGAUUAAGUGAGACAGCAAGAAUCAAGAAAAUAUUGCAGCCUAUAAAGCCUAUCACAUUUCCACUUCUAGUAUUGCAGCCUAUAAAGCCUAUCGCAUUUCCACUUCUUGUCUUUUAAAUUUUCAAUAUUCUCAAAAUCUUUGCUAUUCUCUGCUUCAGACACCAACAAAGUCAUGCCACAGACACCAACAAAGUCAUGCCAUUACUACCAGAAGAUAGAACAAUAGAAAAUAAAUACUACUGCUGCUAUUACUAAUGCUACAUUUUGACUACCCAGUCACAAAGACGGGAAUGGAAUAUCCAGGUGUUCUAGACUUUUGAGUAAUAAGAACUAAUCCAAAAGUAUCAAAACAGAAUGAAAUCAAAAGGAAAGACAGCAGAAGUUCAAUUCCAGAUUAUAAGACACAAACUAUCGAACUGAUGGUAGGCACAAAAGAAUAACAGUCUAGGGAAUUCAAAAUUAGUCCAAUAAUGUAGCCAAUAUCAAAUUGAGAUAGAGAACUUGGACAAAAUAUUAGAAACCCAACUAAUCAGCAAUAGAAGUUCUAUCCAAUUGAAAAUAACCGCCACGAACUUUAAUGUAUUGGUAACCUAAGAGUAGCAAAAACUUAAUGUAUAAUUUUGGUUACCAACAACUCCAAUUUCCUCCAAGUGGAAAGGGAAUCAAUGAUCAGUACUUGCUAGAUGGAAUCGAAGAUGAUGGCUGCUACAAACUUGAAACUGCAUUGAUGGAAUAAGCUUGACUUAGUCACCACUUGAUAUAUGCUAUGUAUGUAAGAUGCACUUUGCAUUAGAAUCCUACGGGCAGAGCAUUCUAUAUCAAGUUCAAUACCAAUAAUGCAAAUGUUAACGAAUCAAAACCCAGGUUGACACCUCAACAAGUAGCUACUUGCACAUUUUCCAGAGGGUAGAAAUCAAGUGCUAUUGUGGCAUUAAUAAAAGACUACAGGUUCCAAUUAAGUUUUACACUGACAACAAGACCAUAGUAUCAUAAAAUUUUAAGAUUUGGGGUGUCUAGAUAAAUUUGAAGUCUAAGGUUUCAUAAAUUAUUAUAUGUUUAGAUGUAGGCUUGGCAUAAGUAAUAACCAAUCAAGAAGCUUAUAAUCUAACAAAAUUACAUAAUGGCCCCGUUUGGAAGGUGAGUUUUUUGAGUGUUUGUAUAAAACUUUACUGUAGAUCACUGUAGAAGUUGUAGAAAAACUUUUUUUUGAUAUGGAAAAACUUUUUUUCCUUUUCAUUUUCUUUUUUUUCCUUUUCAUUUUUCUUUUCCUUCCUCCCUUCCCGCUUCUUCUCCCUUCCCCUUUCCUGUUCCCUCUCCCGAAACCAAUGAAGCAGCAACUUGCAGUGCAUUUUUUUUUUUUUUGCUUUUUUUCUACUUUGACAUCUGAUUGUGCUAUGAAAGUCCUCCAAGCCUCUGAAAGUGGUUCGCCAUUUCUCAAGUGCUGGCAAAUCUCAUAAAUCAAUGACCGGGCAUGAUCAAUUGAAGCACUUUGGCUGGCUCUGUCAUGGAGAACAGAAAACUGUGAAGGAACUUUUCUGCAACCCAGCUUGAAGAAAACAGAGGGUGUAAUUUCCACAACUUGAAGAAAAAACAAGGCGUGAUUCCUCCGCUUGAAGGGUCCUGCCCGCUACCCCUCCCUCUCCCUCUCCCCCUCUUCUCUUUCCCCCGCCACCCUUCUCCUCCGCUCUCCCCUUCCCUCACCGCCACUUCAAAACCUGCCGGCAACUAGUGCAGCAACAAACUAUUUCCUUUUCAAUUUUCCCUCUCCCUCUCUUCCCCUCUCCUCUACCGCAUCAACUCUCCCAAUGUCCGACUGAGACGACUCCCUCCUCCGCAAGGCAUUAGCCGACAAGCUGGUUACCACCAAGCCCAAGCCAACACCGUUCGCCAAUGGAAGGCCUCCGAAGCUUCCAAGUCUGAUAUCAACGCCGCCGUCCAAUCCCUCGAUGCCUUGAAACUGGACAAGGCUUCCCUCGAGACCCAGCUCCUCCAAAAUCAGGCAAAGGGGGAGGAUGGUAGGGGGAGAGGGAAAAAGAAAAAAAAAAAAAAAGACCGGCACCAGAAGAGGUAAUCGGCGGCGGAGGUGGUGGCCGGCGACGGAGGUGGUGGUGGGUUGGGGUGGGGGAGGAAGAAGAAGAAAAGGAGAAGGGAAUUUUUUUUUGUGUUUUGGAUAUUUUGAAGUGUUUAAAUAAAAAACUUUGAGAAGUUUUUUUAAAUUACUGUAGCGAAAGUUGGUAAAAAACUAGUAUAAUACAAACUUGGGUAAAAACUUAACUUCCAAACAAGCCAAAUAUCAUUUUAUUACCAUUUCAAAUGUGUUCACGAACUAGGUAGGAACCUUCCCCUGAAAAUGCACAAGGAUUCUAUACUUAAAUAGACUUUUCAUAGACCCAUUUCUUAUGUUGUAUAAACAAAUUGAACUAAUAAUAACUCUUUAAUCUUAAACAAAGAUAUCAAUAUUGGUAAUUGCUAAAAACCAAAUUGACUACUAAGCUUCUUGGUAAACCCACUAGACACACUUAAAGACAUCAUUAGCAAGAAACCUGGUUCCUCUGCAAAUGUAUAAGGAUUGCAUACGUGAACAGAUUUUUCAUUGACCCAUUUCUUUAUAUUGUGUAAACGAAUAGAACUAACAAUAAUUCUUCAAUCUAAAACAAAGAUAUCAAUAUCGGUAUCGACAAUUGCUAAAAACCAAUAACUACUAUGUUUCUAGGCAAAUCCACUAGCCACACUUAUAGUCUUUAUUAGCAUUUAGCAAAUUACCAAAUGAGAAAGCGCUGUAGAAUCAGCACAUAUUUAACAUACAUUUCAACCAAAAAAUUCUCAAGAAGCUUGCAAAUGGAAUACCUAGCAAAUAACCUUAGCCCCCUUUUUUCCUCAUCUCAGAAUCAAAUUUAAUUUACUAAUAAUCAGUUUUUAUUUGAGAGGAGCACAGUAGAAAGCAAAUAAAAAUCAGAAACAUGAGGAUGCCAAUUCAUCGUAACAUGCACUUACAUAUUAGGGAUGGGUGGAAAAGCACUAAUAGUGAGACCGUCGGAAAGUGACGGUGGAGCGAUACACAAAGAGGACCAGAAAAUUCUCACAAAUAUUUGGUCCUUUGUAAUGAAGAGAGAGAAUUGAGAUGAUGAAGCCAGGUUCAGAGUAAAGGAUGGCAAAAUUUUGCAAUUGAAAGGGAAAAUUUUAGCCCAUUCUAAUCGCUAGAAAAUGGGGAAGCUAGGUUAGAUUAAUAGAGAAGAGUAGGAGAGGAAUAAAACCAAUUAAAAUUUUUUGUUAUAGAGGGCAAAAAGAGUAGCACCCAAAUUUACUACGAGUUAGGUGAUGAUUUUUAGUACGUCACUUGGCCGAGUAAGGCACCGCCUGGGCACCCCCUCCGUCACCCACCUCGCUCCUGCCCCGUUUCCCACGCAGCCCCCGAAGAAGAAAUAAAGCAAUAAAAAAAAGCUAUCAAUUUUGUCUAAAAUGUAUAGGUUACCUGGUAGUAAUCUUCCUUCAGAUGUUGUUGUAAGUAGGAGAACAAGUCCUGAGACUUGUUGGCGAUUUCCAAUGAACACCGUGGCUCCACCGUUGCACUUCGGGCCUGACAAAUCUCAAAUCUAAUCGGUUUGCUAAAAACCCAGAUACCAAUUCCCGUUCAAACUCCAUGCUAAAAACUCCAUUCCGUUGUUGAUUAUGCUACCUUCUUAAAAGUUUACAUGUUUGUCUUCAAAUUGGGGAGAAUUAACAAUUGGGUGGAAGAAAGAGAAAGAAACAAGGGAUUCAGUUGUGAGAGGGAUGAAGGAUUUUGGUUUUUUAUAGAGAGAGUUAACGUGAUUGAAGGUUUUAGGAAAGAGUACUAGGAUGAACAAAGAGUAAAGUUCAUUGGACUAGUUAGAAUUUUUCCCAAAAAAAAAUGGCGCUGAAGUGUAGCGCCAUUCUCUUUCCCGCUUUUGUUUUUUUCUUUUCACUUCUAUUUGGACAAGUUAGAGUGAUACGACGUCGUACUCGUCGUUUUCUUUGUCACUUUAAUGACAUUCCCUACUGCAUGUUACAUUAACUUUCUGUUGUGACACUUUUAGGAAAAUGUCAUAUUAAGUGUGUGACUAAAGGUCAUUUUUGUAGUAGUAAAAGCAAGGUGGAAGUUGAGCACGAAUCAGACCUUAGCUGGCUAGCUGAAUGUGACGACCCUACCUUCCCCCUAGGGCGUACCCAAGGGUUUGGUGGACCGCCUGUCCAGCUCUUGCCAGGACUCACUCACUCACUCAAUCAACUCUCAAGAUUAAUCAUUUAAGCCUCCAAAAUAACAUUUAAAUUCUACAAUUCAACCAAAAUGUAAACUUAUUUACAACCCAAAAGCCAAAUGUAUGAUACAACAUCAAAUGUCAAUAUACAUCCUAUUAACCAAAAGUAUAAGUACAAGAGAUUUUACACUCUAGUUCACACUUAAUUGCUUCGAACCUCCAUUCCUGUAACGAAAACAAAAAAAAACUAAAGGAAUGAGUUAAAAACCUAGUAAGGUUCCUAAACAAACAAUCAAGUAGAGAAACCAUAGAAAUAUGGCAUUUAUCAGUUUGAACACUUUGCACAAUAAUAUCCAGCCAUUCAAGAAAUAAACAUUCAAUCAUUGGAAGGAUACGUGCUCACUUGGAGCCAUUCUUUCAAAUAAUUCAUUCAUUCAUUCGCCAACCAUUUUCCUUAUCCCUCUACCAUUAGAAAACGUUUGCAAGUGAAAAUUCCUUCAGUGUUCUUGUCACUCAUUCAUUGAUAUCAUUGCAUUGAAUCUACUAGCCAUUUCUCCACCAGACUUUGCGGUAAUACUUGAGUAUACCAAACAUUGUCCCAGGGUCACCAGCCGCCCGACUGAGUCCACUUCUGUCUCGAGUCGACUGGCAACGAAGGGCAAGGGUCUAGUUCAGCCAAAAGGCUUACAUUCAUGCACAAGUAGCAUUUAAUCAUUGAAAAUUCACUUUUGCUUGGGUCGAGUGCGAUAAAGUACACACUCGCCUAUCGAAAAUCCAUUAGCAAUCAUUGGAAAGCAUUUAACAUUCUAGCAACAUUCACAACAUUUCACAUAGUCAUUUAAAGCAUACUCAUGCAAGGAACACUCAUUAGUUUAAGCAAAAUAACAUCAAAGUUUCCUUCCGGAUUAUGCCCUUGAUCACCGACAAACCCUAAGAAUAACCAAGAGAAAAAUAUUAUGAUUCAACCGUCCAAAAUUUAGGUGAACCAAAGAAAAUCCAAGUGACUACUCGUGCAAAGAUGCAAAUAUGAUUUUGGAGUGAAAGAAACAAGGUAAUGCACCUCUUUAGGUUAGAAUAUUCACUCCAACUCAACAUACAAUUGUUGUUUAAGGUUUUAGCAAGUGAAGUCAACAAGAGUGUAUCCAAAAGACUACCACACUAAAGACUUGGAGGCUAAAAGAUAGCAAAGUGCAAAGCUGCCAUCCAAACCAGAAUUUUUCGCAGCCAUGAAACAAGUACAAUCAUGAGGUUUUCACCUAUCAAUCUCCGUAGUUUUCACUCAAAUCCCCGCACAAAAGUCUUAACCAGGGUUUGGAACAAAUUUUGGCCAAAAUCAAUUAUGAAAAGAUUAGAAAACAACAAGGUAAUAGACUUCAAUAUCACUUGGCCAACAAGUGAAAUUUCAGCCAGCAAAUUGAAGGAAAAUACCAAUGAAAUUCUUCCAUUUCAACCAAAAUUCAACACAUAAGUAAAGCUUAUAGGGUUACCAAGCAUCUUAAGCAAAGUUAUCGCAAAACCAACCCAAACUUGAAGGAACAAGCAGCCCCAAAUUUGGACAACACCUCCCCUUAGUUUCUUUACUUUUCCAUCCAAACUCAACACCACAUCUUAUCUCAAUUCUACCUCAAUCGCAGCCACAAAUCAUAAGCUAUCAAAUACACUUAAUUAAGGCCACAACACCCUCCAAAUAUAGCCAAUUUAUACUCAAGAACCAACCACAAUCAAGCUAAAUUUUGGAAACCCUAAGCUGAAAUUUUCACAUACAAGCUGGAAUUUUCUUUAAGCAAGCCAAACUGGCUUAUAAAAACUAGAUAUUUCACAUAACAAAGCUAUCAACUCAUGGCCAAGCUCAAGCAUCAAAUAAGGGCAGAAACUUCAUCAUAAAAGCUGGAUUUUUCCAUAUCACCAAUUCAAACCAUGAAAUUUCUCAUAAAACUACCAAAAUUGCAACCCUAAACCACUAGUUUGCAAAUAUUUGAAGUAGAGGAAAGUUUCUUGCCAUAAUACCAUAGAACCCUAUGCAAAGAGGCUGCAAAGACCUUUCUCUUCCCAAAUCACUCCACCAAAACCCUUAAACUUCCUUAGAGAUCAACUUUUAUGGUGUAGUUUGCAAGAUUAACGGUUGAAACUCAAGAUUCAAACAAGAAAUUGAGGUUAAAGAUGAAGCUUCUCUCUUGUUUUUCCCUCUCCAUGGUUCGGCCAAGCAAGGAGCAAAAUGGAGAAAUUUUGGGUCAAAUUUGGUUUAGUAAAGGUUAAGAAAGUCUUGAGUCAAAGUUCAACUUCCAACGGUUUCGCGACACUUGGCUCUCCUAGGUUUAUUCUCAUCUCUUUGUCUUCCAAGGCUAAACUAUCUAGCUAACCUCUAAUUAUCUCUUAACACCUUAUAAAAUAAUAUCUCUUCAUGCAAAACUCCACCUAAUUUUCAAAAAUUUAUCGCACUUACCGCAUUAGCGGGUCUCACUUCCAUAAUGCGUUUCAAACUUAACAUGUACUAAUUUAUACAAGAAAAAUGGUUUAAAACCUUAAUUCUCUUAUAAAAAUAUCAAGGAAAUUAAGGCAAUAAGUUAAAGUAAAGAAAAUGUAUUCGAAGAAAUAAAAUAAAGUAGAGAAAUUUUUCCGGGUCCUCACACUGAAACUGUCUAGAGAGGGGGUGCCAAGCACAAUAUAUAAAGUGAAAUUACUGUAACCCAAACAAACUGAAGGAAAAAGACAAGUCAAACAGGUGAGUGUGUAGAAAGGAUGAAUGGAUAAUAAAUAAAUUGAAAUUACAACAAUCCCAACAAACAAAAGGAAAGAGGAAAGUCAAGAAGGAUGCAGUAAUUACGUGCCCAGAAGAUAACUAUGAAAUAUACGUAAUGAACACACCAAAUCAUCCAAUGUUUGUACAAGCCAAGGACCAUAAAGCUUAUUAAGUCCUACUUGGUACAUAAGCUAAUCUUAAAUAGAAAUUCUCUAUGAUAUUAUCUAGUAAUUAAUGGAUAAGUGAACAAGUUAAACAUCUUUUGCUUAGAUUUGCAAACUUUUCUUGUUUCACCUCUAGUACCUUUCCUUUCUUCACCUUAUUUACCCUGCUUAAUUUCUUUCUCCUUUUAUAUUUUAGCUCUGAACAAUUAUACAUUUAUGUUGGCCCAUAGUUACCAAGUCACAUUAUGCAAGAGAAAUCACAAAGAAAGAUGAGGUGUAUAUUCAAUUUAAUGAUUGUUUUAAGAUCACUUAUUAUUUGUCUACCACUGAUUUUUGAUUGGCAAAGACGAUGAACGAUGGCAUUUACCUCCUUUUACAGCAAAGUUACAUUAACAUUCCAGUUUAUAACUAAUUCUAUUAUACGUUGAUAUAUCAUUUUGGAGUCUCUAAUACUAAAAGUUGAAAAAGAAAAGGUUGUAAGAUUGUUUAAUGCAGAAGCUGGUAAUUCCAAUAGGUCACUGAUAAUGAUAAAGCAAAAAUUUAGAGUAGAAAAUUUUAAAUGUUUUUUGGACAGUUAAUCAAUUUUUUGACACUGAAGAGGCGAUUUUUGGCGGGUAGUUGGACCGACCUAAAUCAGACCUCUCUGGGUUGAGGUGAGGUGUAUCCUCGCGGCCGAAGUGGAUGGCGGGGCUUCUCCCCUGGUAUCACUCCGACGAUUAAGUUAGUAUGAGAACGAGAAAGAUAAUAGUAUCUGAAAAAUGAACAGUCCCCUUACUUGUUGGGAGUGUGUGGGGUAUUUAUAGAAUGAGAGUGGAGGGCAGGACGGAGGUCUUAUGCCGGUGGGACCCAUGUCCUGCCAUUACGGCUCUGCUCCCUGUCAGGCGGCCUGGCUCUGACACUGUAGCCUUCUGGGUAUGAUGGCGGAGAGUAUGGUGCAGGUGCCAUUAAGUGCCUCCAGUGCUUUUCAAAUAAAGCACUGGUCCCAGGUGAUGUCAGGUGGCUUGACAUCAUCAGCGUGCAGCUGAGGUGGAGGUGCCGAGGUCACCUGCACGGUAGACUAGGGAUCCGGCCGAGCUUAAGGGAUAUGCUCGAAACACGGAUGAGCUCUGAUGACGGACGAGGUGAGUUCACCUCGGGCAUGCGGGGCGGCCGAGGUGAGCAUCCUCAGACACUUUUUUCUUUUCCUAUGAAAUUGCCUAAUUUGAAGAAAAGUUUGCAGAAAGCAAAACUGGAUGUGCACUAUCAAAAAGCCGUAAAGCUGCAAUGAAACAUCUAAGGAAACCAAAAAAAAAAAAGAAGGUAUAAAAAGUGGUGCUAAAGAGAAAAACAACAAUUGCCAGUCGGCAUUCAUGCCAAAUAACAGAAACUUCACUCUUAAAUUUUUCUUUCCAAUUCUCACUACAGUUAGGCGUCUCCUCUUUGAAUUAACAUAAAAACACAAACGCUUACAUAGAGGACGACAAAAUCAGUCAACUCUCUCAUAUUGAUAUAUGUCCAACUAUCAGAUAAAAAUUACGUAUAAGGAUGAGAAAAAAUUACAAGAAAAUCACUUUGGAUAAAUGCAUGCAAACAAUGUGUUGGCAAAAUGGAAAAAAUUCAUAAGACAUUGAAUACCAAUAACCAAAUUGAGAAAAACAGUAAGCAACAACUUAUUUGAGAAAAUUAAAUGCUUCAACCAUAGUUGUUUCAGUUGUCAAGGACACCACUAGUCAAUCAGGUAGACAUUACUCGUGCAUUAGUCAAAAUACUGUAUAAGAGAAGGAUCCUUUUGAGUAUUUCUGUUUUUGUACUCUCUACUUUCAAAGUGCCUAGAUAAUACCACUCUAAUCUAAUUGAAGAAUUUAACAGUUGCAAAUUUACUGCUUGAAUAAGAACUCAAUACUAUUUUGGGACCAACUUAUUUUUAGCAUCAGUAGUUGCUUGGCUAAUAUCCCUGUUAGUUGAACUAGGUCAUCCACUUUAUAUAUGUCUCAAUUGGUCCACCUAGUUAGAAAUUUUCUAGGGACAAAAAUGACGGAUUACUUGCAAAGUCGGCAUGGAAAGUUUGUAGUUAAAGAUACAGUUAUAGCUUUACAUCAACCGAGGGUGGAGGUAAGCUGGGAUAGCUGGUGCGCAGGAAACCUUUGUUCCUCAGUUUGCUUUUGGGCUUUGGCUAUUGUGUAGAGAUAUUCUUAGUACAAAUGUUAGAUUGAAGAGGAGGAUGACUACAGAAGAUUUUUUUUUAUUUUUAUUUUUUGAGCUUUGUAUCUACAAAGCUAAGCCGAGCAUUUGUUCUUUCAGUAUGGUAUGACCUAUCAAGUCUACAAGCAAAUUUGGUGGUACAGGGAGCCAGAUCCAUGGUCGAUUGAGUUGUCUUGUUACUGUUUAUAUUCUAUGCGUAGUACUUCCAACUUCCAAGGUUCAAGUAUGUAAGUUGACACUUGCAGCAAAUAUAUAUCAUGUGUGGAACUGGAGAAAUCAAGUAGUUUUCAAUAAGAACCUAUGGAUUGUUGAAGUUCUUGUGUGUAAAAUCAUUUCAGAUUUUCAGGCAACCAUACUAAGUUAGAAGCCCGUGAGCAUGAGUAGACAGUUGGGAGCUUUGCUUGCCAUGGCAAAGCAAAUUUCUUUAGGCUUUUCCUUUUUUACUAGUGGUUUCGCUGUCCUCCUUUUGUGUUUGUUUUACCCUGUUUGGGCGAUAGAUUUCUAGUGUUAUGCUAGACUGUGUAUGUUUUUUUGUUAUAUCAAUAAGAAUACGUUUAUCUAAAGGGGAAAAAGAAUGUUUGAGAGGGGGAUAGAGAGAAUAUGUGUCUAUAUGUGACUGUGUAUCUGAUAGAAGAUAAAAACUGUGUUUGUAUGAGAGGAUGUGAGUGAGAGAUCACGUUUUAAUAUCCUUAUACUAUAUAAGAACGAGUUUAGGACUAGAUUUCAACCGCAGGGGUGAGGCUAUUUUGGGAAUGUGAGAGUGUUUGAAGAGUAAUUGGAACAUUGAGUACAAGUCAUUAUAGCUUUAAUUUCACUAUAAUUACUUAUAUAACCUUUCAGACAUUUAAGGUUAGGGGUAGGUUUGAUAUGUUACAAUGUUUGGUGCCAAGUUGAGUAUCAAGUACAACUGAAUAAAGCUUGUGUUUUGAUAGAAUUACAUAAAAGUCCUUUUAAUCAUUUAUUAUACUAACAUCCAAGCCUUCCAAUUUCCUGAAACCUUUCUCACCCGUUAAGAAAUUAAUUGGAUGUUUACAUAAUUGGAUUUUAAUUACAAUUAAUUAACUUAAUUAUUAUCUAAACAAUCAUUAUCAUAUUUAUGUCCCCAUGUUUAGCCGAUACCCUUUCUUCUUUUUCGGUUUCACCUCUUUGGUUUUAUUAUGGCUAUUAAAUAUUUGGUGGAAUGCGUAGCUUUUCCUUUAAAUUGAGGUGAGUUCUUUGGGUUUGUCUUCUUCGAUUGUAGUUUUUUUUUUUCUGAUGAUUGGUUUAUUCAAGAACUCCAUAUAGUUUGCCUUUUGAUACUUCUAAUUCCAAAAACUGACUAAUUGUAUUGUUUUCCUUAGUAGAUCUCAGAGAUUCUGUCUCUGGACAAAGUACAAUUUGAGAUAAUGUUGUCACUUUCUAAAAUAAUCAGAAAAGCAAUUUUAUCAUAUUCUCCUCCUCGGCCAAGGUAUUAUCUCUUUAUUUAAGUCAAAUAAUCUUAUUUCUCAUGAACUUUCUCCUAUUGUUCUUGACUCCAGGGAUCUGUUGACUACAUUCCAACAGUUAUGGUUCAAGUAGUUAUUUUUUCAUGUAAUAUGAUUUGGAAUUCAGCUUGUGUUUAUUUUAAUUGGAAAUUUUAUAAUUGUAAAAUUUAUUAACUUAGAAUUUUGUACUUCAUUGAAACUAAAAAAGAAAAUUAAUCAUGCUACAUAGUACUAAGAUGUCAUUUGCACUCUAUUUGCUUUCCAUGUUAUGAUCUCGUUCUUGUAUUAUACUGUUUAUAUAGUUUCAAAUACAAAAAAUUUGCUUUUUUAUGCUAUCUAAAAGAAUUUGUAGUGAAUCUUGAUGAGUUUAAAUGCUUUAGCUACAGCACCAUUUUACAAGCAACUAUUAUCCAUAGUUCAAACGAGUCAAUUAAGUAGAGAUGUUAUAUUGGAUACUUAUACAAGUAAACAUUGGAAAAUAUCAUUAAGCAGUUUCUACCUAUAGUUUGCAAUUCGAAUUCAUAUGAGGAAUUUCUUCUGAUUUUAGUUACCAUUUUCUACAAUUUCAAAGUUAGAAAAUAUUAUUUGCACCAAUUUUUUAUAAUCAAGAUAGUUUCAAUUCAGAUCUUUAACAAUUAUGCAGAUUUGAACUUAUUUAUGAGAUUAUAAAGAAAUGCCCCUAGCAAAAAACACCAAAUUUGAAUAGUUUCUACAAAAUUUUGAAAAAGACCACUUAAGUUUCUUAUCUAUCUAUCAUUUUUGGGCAUUAUUAUCUUUGUAAGAAACAUGUGAUUAAGUCGUAUUAUGCCCACUAAAUUAUAUAAAUAGUUAGUCAAAAAUAAAAUUAUUUUAGAUUAGAUUGGAUGCAAAGUGAUUGAUGGAUAAACUUGACUUGAUAAUUCAGGUUGAGCUUAAGUCGAGGGAGAAAUCAGAAGCAUUGCUUGAGGGAUCUUUCACGAACAUAUAUAGAUUCGAGAGAUGAAGGGUCCAAUUGAUACUUUAAAAUGUUUUAUCAUCUUGGAUAAGUUUUAGAAGAGACCUUUGAAUACUUUUCAAUUGCACUUCAAACAUUUUUACAUUUUCAAACUAUCCUUAUCUUUGCUGUUGAAAUUCAAACAUAACCUUUGAUCACAACGGAUUCUUAUAUAGUAUAAUGAUAAGGAUGUCUCAUUGCACAUUAUUUUUAUUGACUCACUAUGUAACUUAUGAUUUUUCUAUUAAAAUCACAUGAUAAAAUCAUCAUACUUCAGUUCUUAUACUACAAAUUAUUAAACAAUAAUUAUUAAUUAUCUUGAAUCACAAGCACUAAAUUCCCGUGCGUCGCGCAGGCUGUCCCUCCCUAGUGUGUUAUAGAAAAAAUGGAUAAUUUCACAAACCUCUCCUGAGGUUUCUCACAAUUACAAAGAGCUCCCCUCAAGUUUUAAAAAUUAUCUCCGUUUGGAUUAGCUGUUUUUGGGGUUGUUUUUCAAAAACAGCACUGUAGCAUUUCGUUUUUCAAAUACAAGUCCGUUUGGAUUAGUUGUUUUUGGGGUUGUUUUCAAAAAUUAUAUAAAAAACUUUUACUGUAGAUGUUUUAUGGAUUAUUUUUAGAUGUAUUUUUAAAACAUAUUUUUGAGUAUUUUUAUAAUUUAUAAUUUUUAUAACAAUAUACAAUUAUACAUUUAUAAAUAUUUAUAAAUAAAUAUAUUUAUAUAAAAAUAUAUAAAUGUAUUAUAUUAUAUAUAAUACAUAAUAUAAAUAUAUUUAUAAAUGUAUAAAUGUAUAAAUGUAUAAAUUAUAAAUGUAUAUUAUAUAAAUGUAUAAAUUAUAAAUUUUAUAUUUUAUAUUUUUAUAUUUAUAUACAUUUAUGCAUUUAUAAUACAUUUAUAAAUAUUUAUAAAUAAAUAUAUUUAUACUUUUAUAAAUAAAUAUAUUCAUAUAUUUAUAUAUAAAUGUAUUAUAUUAUAUAUAAUACAUAAUAUAAAUAUAUUUAUAAAUGUUUAAAUGUAUAUUACUAUAAAUAUAUAAAUUAUAAAUGUAUAUUAUAAUUUAUAAUUUAUAAUUUUUAUGUUUUUAUAUUUAUAUACAUUUAUGCAUUUAUAAUACAAUUAUAAAUAUUUAUAAAUAAACAUAUUUAUAUAUUAUUAUAAAUAAGUAAGUGUAUUAUAUUUAUAAAUAAAUUUAUAUAUUAUAUAUAAAUAAAUAAGUGUAUUAUAUUUAUUUAUUAUAUAUUAUAUUUAUAAAUAAAUAUAUAAAUGUAUUAUAAGUGUAUUAUAUUAUAUAUAAUACAUAAUAUAAAUAUAUUUAUAAAUAUAUAAAUGUAUAUUAUUAUAAAUGUGUAUAAAUUAUAAAUGAAUAUUAUGAUUUAUAAUUUUUAUGUUUUUAUAUUUAUAUACAUUUAUGCAUUUAUAAUACAAUUAUAAAUAUUUAUAAAUAAAUAUAUUUAUAUAUUAUAUAUAAAUAAAUAAGUGUAUUAUGUUUAUAAAUAAAUUUAUAUAUUAUAUAUUAAUAAAUAAGUGUAUUAUAUUUAUUUAUUAUAUAUUAUAUUUAUAAAUGAAUAUAUAAAUGUAUUAUAAGUGUAUUAUAUUAUAUAUAAUACAUAAUAUAAAUAUAUUUAUAAAUUUAUAAAUGUAUAUUAUUAUAAAUGUGUAUAAAUUAUAAAUGAAUAUUAUAUAAAUGUAUAAAUUAAAAUAUUAUAAAUAUAUAUUAAUAUUAUGUAUUAAUGUAUUAAUGUAAUAAAUAUAAAUGUAUAAAUUUAUUAAUAUUAUGUAUAAAUGUAUAAUUAAUAUUAUGUAUAUUAAUAUAAAUAUAUAAAUGUAUUAUAUUAUAUAUAAUGCAUAAUAUAAAUGUAUAUUAUAAAUAUACAUAAAUAUAUAUAUUAUGUUUAAAUGUACAUUUAUAUAAAUGUUCAAUAUAUAUAAUAUAUAUUAUGUAUAUAUUAAAUAUAUAUAAUAUAUAACAUUUAUAUAAAUGUAUAAUAACAUAUUUGUAAUUUAUAUAAUUUAUAUAAUAUAUAAUAUUCAUAUAAAUAUAAAUAUAUAAAAUAUAUUUUAUAUAAAAUAAAAUAUUUAUAAUAUGUAUAAAUUAAUAUAUUUAAAUUAAUAUAAUUUUUAUAUAUCCUAUACAUAAUUGAAAUAUACAAAUUGAAAUAAACAUAUUAAAUAUGUAUUUGGAGUUGUUUUUGAUAUAUUGUUUGGAUAUGGUGUUUUUGGAGUUGUUUUUUAAAUACACAUUUACUGUAGCAUUUGGAUUGUGAAAAACAGUUUUUCAAAAACAGGCCCAAAAACAAGAAUCCAAACGGAUAGAUAUGUAUCUCGCCUACUUUCACCAUUUAGUAACAAUGUAGGUCCUCGAAUUUAGAUUUUCCUUCAAAAAUCCUAAAUUGCCCUUUUGUACAAAAUUAAGAAAGAAAUUUAUAGUAUACUCAAUCAUUUUUUUUCACAAUUUGUAUAAAUCAACAAACCAAAUUCCUAACAACCAUUCAAACAUAAGUUAUAAAUCAAGUAACCAUCCAAAAGAUACCAAAUUGCAUAUACAAUAUCAAUACUUGCCACAAUAAAAAAAAAUACACACAUACACAAAUCCCAUUGAUAACCAAUUUUAUACCCCCAAAUUAAAUAUCAAUGCUAAAAUACCUUUUCAAUAUAAACUAAUUCGAUCUAGAACCACCAUUACAACUCUCCUAUCGCCUUAAAAAUAUUAACAUCUCAAAAGUAGAUAAUAAAUUAUAUCUUCACAAUAAAAUCAUAAUAAAAAAUUUCUAAUCCAAUGAAAGAAAUCAUUAUGUAAUUAUUGACAUUUUAUAAAAGUUUUUCUUAACAACAAAUAAAAUAUGACAAAUUUCACAUCUUUGGUUCUUCUUCCUAUUUCAAUCAUCAAUUUCAUUAUUUAUUUCUCUAUCACUGUGAGUCUCUUCAUUUCCUUCUAAUUUGACACAUGAUCUAUUCUCUUGUAGAUUUUGUAAUUUCAAUUUGCUAAUAUUCACAAAACUAAAGAUAAUAAAAAGAGGUUAUAUUAACUGGAAAAUAGACAAGAGAUAGAAAAAUAGAUUUCUUUUUUGUUAGAUUUUGUAAAUUUAUUGCCUUAAAUUUAAAAUUGUCUACUAAAUGGAGUGUCUUAUAGGUAUUUUACUACAUCAAGGGAUGUAAUUGUAAUUUCUUAAACCUGAGGGGAGCCGAAUAAAAUUGUCAGAAACCUCAAGGGAGGUUUCUGAAAAUAUCCCUAGAAAAAAUUAUGUUGUGUGUGAGAGAAAAGAUUGUGUAUGAUUAUGAGUGUGUGCACUUGUGUGUGUGUAUGAGAGAGAGAACGUGCAUACGUGUGCAAGUGUGUCCGUUACAGAGAAAAUAUAAGAGUAUAUAUAAAAUAAUAAGGAUUUGAGUAAAUACAAAAGAGUACUAAUAGAAAAUGGAUUAAUCUUUCCUACACUAACAGUGUAUACAUCAUCCGCAUUGGAUGAAUGGUAACUAUGCGAAAUUUGAAUUUGUAAUUUAACUUUUAUACACAUGUCAUGAAUCUAAUGGUGAUAGUGUAUACAUUGCCAGUGUAUAUAAGAUUUACUCAUAGAAAAUUUAGCAAUUCACGUAAAUAUGUGUCCACAUUAAAUGGUGCUUAAUGUAUUUUGACAUAGAAAAUUUUGUUAUCAAAUAGAUUUAGUAGGGAUAAAAAAAACACUUACCUUAUUUCAUUACAAAAACUUAAUAAGUUUGUCAAAAAUCCCAAAACGUUGCACUUCUAAUUAUCAUGCGAGUCUUAUAGAAUGCAAAUUUAUGAUGGAGCCCAACAAAAUAACAUCAAUUUUUGACCAUUAAUUUCUUAAGUUCUUGUUUGUUUCUUUGAUUUUAUCUAUUCAGUUAUUCUCAGCAGGGAAAUUAGGCUUAGUGACCUAUUUUGCACUUGAAUGAACCAACCAGAUAAUAUGAUGUAUCCCUCUGCGAUUAGCUGAGUCUACAAUAGUUUACUGCAUUUAUUUCCUUUUUCUAUGCUCGUCUACCACGUUAUCAUUUUCAUCCCUUAAGCUUUUUCUAAACAUUUUUACUUAUUUGAGUAUAGAUGUCUAAGAUUCGAUGUCUUCUCUAGAAAGGGUGAAGAAUUCGAACUUUAUGAUUAGUGAACUUGGGAAUUGAGAGUUAUAUCUUAAGGUCAAUGCCAAUUUGGCCCUACCAAAGAAGGUUCAAUUCUCAAUUUGGCCCUUCAAAGUGUUUAUAUGGGGUCCUUCCAUCCAACUGCAAUUAUAUCCCUAACAUUUGACUAGUCAGUAAAAGAUCUAAUAGAGAAUCUAGCAAAUAUAUUGGUUUUUUCAUAAUAUUUCCACUUUUUUUUUGGCCUUUUUCAUUUUUACUUUUUUUUUUUAUCCUAAGAAGAAUAACAGCCACCAUUGCGGCUGUUGGUAUACAGGCUGGCAAUGACCUUGUGGCACUGGUGAUGAUUUAUAACAAAAAAACACUCCUAAAUUUGAUUUUUUUUUUCAAGAAAAAUAUAAUUCUAGCAAAAAAAAAAAACUGCAUUGACAUAAGGUCAAAACGACAAACCAAAAUGGAGCAUCCGGAACACAUUGGUUAAGCGUUUUGUAAUAACACAAAACUGGUAAAAAAAAAAAAAAGUGGCUGCUGCUGCUGUUGUUCCUUGUAGGGAAGAACAAGAAAAGGUGAAAAAAUAUUAAACAGUGAAAAUUUUGUGGAAAUAAAAAUUAUAGAAGGAAAGAUAGGUUUGUUUGCUUGGGAGUCAGUUAUGUUGCUAAAAUAUGCUGAGAGGAGUGACUUUACUAAUUUGCAGUCGCAGUUUUAUGCCAUUGAUGAGCAUUUACUAGCUCGAUUGGUGUGAAAAUUAGCUUAUUUGUUUCCUCAUCAACCCUCUAGGUAACAGUUCAGUUUUUGCAAUUGUUUCCUCUUUUUUCCCAUUUUUUGUGUUCUUUUCUUAUUCAAUAAGAUACCAAUUUUACGUUAAAAAUCUAAUAAUAAUAGUAGUAGUAGUACCCCAUUGUAUGAUUCAACAUGCACUAGCUCCCUUGUUGAGUAGUUCUUUUGCUUUUUCUUUUUUCAAUAGAAGGAGGUAUUCUAAUUUAGUCAGACUAAUUCAUCUCUUGACUUGCAGAGCCCUGCCCAAGAAUGCAUGUACUAGCUCCCUUGUUGAGUAAUCAAAUUUUAGAACUUUGGUUGAAUUGAAUGGAAGCACUAGAUUGGAAAUCUUUUCCAGUUUGGAGGACCAAAUCGAAAUUUUUAACUACUUUGGAUGGCCAAACUAGCAUUAACAACUAGGGGUGGGCAGGGUCGAGUACCCACCAUGUGCACCAUUAGACUGAUCUAACCCGCACCUUGUAGGUCAACUAUUUUUUGACCCUUAUUCACCCUGCAUUUCGGUGACUACCUAGUUAUCAAGUACCCGCUGAGAUAGGAUUGGAUCAACGAGUACCCGUCUCGCUCCACUUAUCAUUUAAUUUUUUUUAAAAAUGAUUUAUACUAAUUUAAUUUUGUAUUUUAUAUAUUCAUCUAAAAUUUAAUAAAGAUUUUUUCUCAAACAAAGUCUCCCACCAAGAAACAAACAUGCAGAGAGAAUACAAGAAAAAUGAAAAAAUUAUAAAAAUUCAAAAUCAAUAAAAAUUUGAAAUAAGUAGCACUUGUUUUAAUUAUAUAUUCCAAAUUAAUUAAACUUUUUUUUUAAAAACAUAAGAUCAUGACCUCUACAAAUGAAUCUUGUAAAUAAACUAUAGUCUCCCAUAUUUGUAAUGCAAUUUAUUCAAUAAAAUUACUUAUUUAACUCUAAAAAUAUUAUGUUAUAAUAUGCAUAUAAAAAUAAAAAAUAAAAAAUAUAUAUGCAAGGCGUGUUAGGUACCCGCGGAUUUUUAAUUAGGUGAUCUUAACCCACCCCACAUCUAAGUAAGUACCCGACCUUUUUUUGACCCGAUCAAAUAAUACAUAUCAGAUAUCCUAAUUUUCGGAUUGAAUAUGAUGAGUUUUCAGGUUAGCUAGUACUUUUGCCCAACCCUAUUAACAACUAAUUUUAAUUUGCCUAUUGUAUUUUCAUGUUUUCCAUAUCAGUGUCCUGUUUCAUAAGGAUGUUUUAAAUUGCUAUCCAAAUAUUCAGCUCAAUUAACCACCAGCUAGUUGGAUCAAGUAAAAUGGCACCAUCAAACAUUAAUUUAAAUGAAUAAUUAAUCAAUGACAACCCUAGAGAUACAAGUUAAUACACUGUUUAUUCCAUAACCCUCCUCCCCAAACAGGAAAUUAAAUGAAAAUAAAACAGAAGAAACUUACGUAUACCAUAAAAUGAAUCUGUUGGUUGUUCCUUUCAUUGGCCCCAAGGCAAUAAGAGGAAACUAUUCAAUAUCGUGAAGAACAUGGUUACACAAGCUGCUGGCAACCAAUUUGGUUACCUUGUUCAACUUCCAAGCCUAACUGAAGAAAUUUUGUGGCCACAAAAUUGACAUCAUUAACUUUUGCUAGGUUUUUUUUUUUUUUCUGAAGAACUUUUGCUAGUAGUUUCAAGCUUCUAGUCUCUUUCAAUACUAUAAUGAAUCGAUUAUAUAAUAACUAAAACAGAAUCCGCAUAUUUGAAUAAAAAAAUAAUGGUUGCAUAAAAUAGAGAAAAGAUGAGUCACAGAACCAUAUUGAGAUGGUUCCUACAUUCAGUGCAACUUCCAUGAACUACAAAGGUCAAACCCCAUAGACAUUUAGCCUCAAUUUUCUCUUCCUUUUUGCACGUUCUUUCAUUUUCCCCUUAAAUUUUCUUGUUGAAACUGCUGAUCCUUAACUAAAUAAAUUCUUUUCCCCUAAACCAAGAUUCCACAUCAUGGGCUCCAUUUUUCUCCCUUGCUGACAUCAACCUUUUUUGGCAUUUUCUAUUCACUCUUAAAGUUUAUUAAACUAUAUAUAAAGGUAGCAACCUUACAUAAUGAUUCGACACCACAUUGAUCAAAGGCCAGCAAUUGCAACAGCUGAUCAAACUACAAAGUCUUUAACCACCUCCAAACAAAUACCAUCCACAUACAUAUUUUUCUUCAUAUAUCUUUUCUCUUAGAUUCAAGAAAGGUCCUAUCAUGAGUUCUUCUAUCAACAAAUUUAUAGGUUCUCGAGGAACAGCACAAUCUACAGCUGAGGAAUCUGGAUGGACUCAAUAUUUUGACGAUUUUUCAUCAGAUCAGAAGGAACAUGAUAGCUCAUCAUAUUCAAAUGGUAGCCCUUCUUUGGUUUCUGAUGCAGCUUCUCCCAACAAAAAGGAAAGCGGUCCAUGUUCUGCAUUUUCUGACCAGCAGGUCCCCAGGAGAUUGAAUGUCAAGGAAAAAAGAACCAAGAAAUAUUCUUGUGAUGAUCUGGAAGACACUGCUUCUUCACCUGUCAAUAGCCCCAAGGUCUGACAACAAGAAUUCAGCACUUCUUUUUUUUCUCCCUUAAAGUUAUUUUUCUUCUCAUCAUUCUAUUUAAGCAAAGUUUUAUGUUUUAAGAUCAUAUGUAAUGAUGAAUAUUAGGUUAGUAGUUUGAAGCCGAUGGAUUCGACUUACAGAAGAACAGAUGAAAGUAUUGGCAAUUUUCGGGUAAGAAUGAUCGAUGCAUACUACAAUCAAAAUAAUUCCUUUUGCCUUUUCUCAACUCUUUGAAAACUUUUGCAACAAAUAUAUUUAAAGCAAGAAAAUCUUACACACCAUAUCUAAAAGUUUUUCUUUUAUUUUCUUUUUUCUGUUGAUAAUUCUCCAGGGAAAGGAAACCAGACCAGUUGCUUUACAUCAAUCAGAUGAAAGAAGCAGCAUAAACUUUGAUGGAAAGAAUAAUGGCUAUGUGGAGUUGAAGAAGAAAGGACUUUGCCUGAUGCCAUUCUCCAUGGUUCUCCACUACCUGGGCUAGCUGACAAGUAUUAGCUCACGUUAUGUGAUUAAGCAUCAUUAAACUAUUAUAUGUAUAGUGGAAUUACUGGUAAUCUUGUUCAUAUAUAUCCACACAAUCUGCCAUCUUAUGUUGGCGUAAAUUUGAGUACACAAAUUUUAGUGGUUGUAUUUUUUUUCUUUUUCGGUAUGGAUUAUUGAUUGAGAAUGAAGGAAAGGAAUUAGAGACAAAAGCGUUUUAAGAGUUUAAUUCGUCACUACAUAUCUUAAGCAGUGACAGCUAGCUGAAAAUUGUUUAGGAUUUUAAAUACUCUAUUAAGCUUUCUUGUGGAUAAUUGACAGAUGAACCGCCAGACUUUCUUUUGUUCUUCCUUUACCUUGAGUAGAGGUUUGGGAACCACUAGGCUUAAUGUGGCCAAUAAUGACUCAAAGCCUUCUAUCAUUAUCACAUUAAAAAAGCUUAAUUUUCAAGAAAUUAUGCCUUUACAUCAUCCACAGUCUCUGAUGGAAGUCCUUAUAAUGGUGCAAACUGCAAAACUGAUGAUUUGAGGGCAUUAGAAUGUAAUAGUAGCAUUUGAUGACUGGCUUAUGUUAACCGUCACUCUAGAUAGUAAUUUCAAUCUCAUUUUAUCUAGAAAAAGGUCUAUCUUGACAUGAUGAUAAAGGAAAACUAGAAAUCCACUUAUAUGGUUGGUUUUUUGAAUGCUUUUAGGGAAAUUCUUUUCGAGUACAUGCCCUUGUAAACGCGACAUAGAGAUAAAAUGGUGAUCGAAAAUGUAUUUGAAAAUUUUAAACUCGACUAGUUUCUGAAAAAUUUGCCCUGAAAAAUGGAUAUGCGUGUGUGUGCAUGCAAUAAGAAGUUGAAAAUCUACACUACUUUUAGAAGAAAAUUGAAGAAUGUUAGGAUCAAUAUGUAUUUUUAAAAAUGGGAGAAAGAUAAAGCAAAAAGAAACAAAUAAGGAGGACACCAUCUAGAAACAUGUAUAAGGUACUAAAGAGAGAGAUAAUAUUGGUAUAGGGAGGUCCAUCAUUUGACAAGUAGUGCUAAUAACAUUAGUACCAAGGACUUUCGAUUGGCUAAUUCAUCAUAUUCAAUUGUCACAUCACCUAACUAGAAUUGUUAGAAAAGGAACAGUUGAUCAAAUGCAACGCUUCAGUUCUGGUCUCUAACCAAAUUAGCAAAAACUAUUAAGUUGUGGGCUAAAACCAUGGGCGAGGACACAGCAACAGAAUUUUUACAUGAAGCCAUUAGCAAUUUUGUUCCAAUAAAUGGAAGUUUUACCACUGACAAACACUACUAGUUUUAUAAAAUCUUUAGGUUAUAUGCUCAAAAUGUUUAACACACAAAUAAAAGUGUUUCCCCGGUUGUAGGUAUGGUGAUUCUAUAUCUGGCAGAAUUUGGAUGCAUAUAUCACAUUUCCCACCAAACAAGAAACUGAAGAAUAAUAUAAAGAAUAUGGUGAUCAUGAAUGUGUCAACAACUUCAUACAAUUUUUUUAAAUGGGAUUGGAAGCCAAAUAUUCUUCCACAGAAUCCAAAAGGAUACAAUUUCCUAGUAAAAGCAUGGUAAAUAAUGGAAAUAUUAAUUAUUAGUUUGACAAUCAUUAAUUAAAAUAUUCAAAGGUACGGCAAAUUCAAGACCCCUCCAUGUGCAAAAACGUUACGGCAGGUAAAGUCCACAACUGUCCUAGCAUAUACUCUUUUGGUUGACUUUCCGUUAAUUUCUUCUAGAUAAAACUCAUAAAUCUCUCAAUCUAUAAAUCUUCGAAAUAAACGAAGUAACAAAGAUAAUGAUGAUUAAUUAAAAUGUGACAGGCAAGUAGCAAGAAAGACAGAACAUUGGCAAGAAUUGAUGUUUGAGCCAUUUUAACAUACAUUAUGCGUAAUAGUGAAGAGUUACAUUUAGUUUUCAUGAUUAUUUUGACGCUUUAAAUCGUUAAUUUUCUUGAAAGCAUAUUUAAAUACAUCAAUGAGCAAUAAAAUCUUGAAACGUCCCCUUCUUGCCCCUAAGUCAGCCCUAUUAGGAGUUUACACAUAGUGUGUCUUUGUGUCUGUUUAACUUGAUAAUUGAAAGGGUAGAGAGAAAGGUGCUUGGUAAAUAAUAAAUGUGUGAUUUGAAUUUCUUUAAAGGCAUAGCUCUAAAUAUAUGUGAGCAAAAAUAAAAUUUUCAAGUUUUGCUUCACAUUUUCUUGAACAAAAAAGUUUGACGUAAGGUGUAAAGUUUCCAUGAAUUAGACAUACAAAGACAUGAAAAUUGAUCUUAUUUUGAUAGGCCAAUGAAAUGAAUGAUUGUGGCACUCAUCUCCAAACCAGAACCCUCAUAGGAUUAUGGAAAUGAAGGAUGGGGUAAUUAAUAUCCCAACAACAUGGUUUUGAUAAUAUGAGCGCAUAAAUCCUUGGAUUAAGUCUAUUAAGUCCAAGUCCAAGGUCAGUUUCAUGAUGAAUGAUCUGAUACGAAAGGAAAUGACCGCACUCCAUGUACAUCUGUGCAUUUAAGUCAGAAAGACAGUCAUGACAUGAGAAUUUUCAUUUGUCUAAUUAGAGAUUAAAGUUAAACCACCCCUCCUAGGUUGGAUAAUGAUCAGCAUGUGAGCCAAAAAAGGUUGUUUAUUAAUCAUUCAAUUUGACCAAAAUAAUUCAACUUAUUGGUCCGUGACAUAGUAAUUAACCAGAAUCUAAUCAUUGAGAAUUGAAAUUGGGUGGUAAAUUAAAGGGUUCGCAAACAUAUGCAGCAUAAAGUAGUCACUAAUGUCAUAGUUGGAUUGGACCCCAAAGAUAAACUUGCCUGUUAAGGUUGGAUAAUCAGGAGCAUUUGAACCCAUAAUAUUCUUUUAUGUUCGAAAUGAUUGAAAUUGAUAAUAAAUUGAACUUUAUCGGUCAGUAAUAUGGUUAACAAGCUUUAAUAAGGUAACAUGGAGUUCUGGACUUUUGGGUGGUAGAUAAAUGGUCUGGCUCAUACCAUAGGCUGUUGAAAUGAUACAGUAACCAAUAGGCUAGAGCUAAACUCUAUGGCUUACACGUCAAUAAUACCAAACAUUCAAUGUGCAUGAUAAGACCUUUAAUCAAUGAUUUACGAUUAUCGAAGUAUAUAGACAAAUUAAAGCUAAUGAUUAAAGUAUCUUAAUGGAUUGUACAUGCCAACUUGGAUGGAGAAGCCCUAAAAAACACUAGAAAAGCACAAUUAAUCUCCUACUAUAUAUCUCUUGUAAGGGGAAUAAAAGGGAAAAAUUACAUGUUUCAUCCCUUAUAUUUCGCAAAAAUAUUCUUUUCAUCACUCACUUUUAAAACGAAAUAAAUUCAUCCCUUACAUUUAAAAAUUGAAUCUAUUACAUCUCUGAAUCCAACUUUCAAUUUGAAUCAUACCAUCCAAUAAUCCAGUAAUAAAUUUGAGGAUAUAAUUAAUAGAUCACUCGAUCAACUCCAUUACAUUCACAUGAUAUUUAUUAAACCAAAAAAGAAAAUAAAUUAAAAAGUUAUAACAUAAAAAGACCAUUCUUUGUCUUGGAAUGGUAGGGUUUCUAUUUGGAUAAAUCUUUUCAUGCACCGUUAGAAUAUACACUUGCGAGUCUAGAUACAUAUCAUACAUACAAAGUUUGGUGUUUAAAUUUAAAUUGAAAUGAUAUAUCAAGUAUCUAGACCUAUCAGUGUAUAUAAUGACAAUUUAGGAAAGAUUAUUUCUUCUUUUUUAUGUCAUAAUUUUUUAUUUUUUCUUUUUGGGUUCAUUAAAUUUCACGUGAAUAUGAAGUUGAAUUAUGAUCACUUGUCGCGAGUGUCAAAGAUUAAUUACUAGAAACCCAAAACAUGUAGCAGUGGGAGUCCAGGUCGAACUAAAACCAUUUGGCCUAAAUUAGCCCGAACGCCGGUAGUAAUUCACAGAUUCUCUGGUUUCUAGGAUAGAAUCAAAUAGCUCACUUAAAUUAGGAGUCGUUUGUCAAGAGCAUGUCAGGUCUUACAUCGGGUUGUAAGACGGGCGCCCAUCAUAGAUAGACUGUUAAUUUGACUGAAUUCAACUUCAAGCUCAAAUGGGUCUUCUGUUUGGCCCCCAUCCUAUCACCCAUCAGCUGCUAACCACUUGAGGUCACAUUUUCCUAUUAAUUAAUAUCUUUUUGCUUUAUUUUUACCACAAAUGCCUUUAACACUGUCCAACCAUAAAAACACAACUAAAUAGCACUUUUAAAGAUAAAACAUGCAUAAAAUCAUAGUGAUAGAGGAGCAUAAAAAUAUAUCAAACAUGACAGCUCAAGUUAACCAAGUGAUCUACUAAUUAUAUCUUUGAAAUUUAAAAUUGGAUUGUUGGGUAGUUAGAUUCAGAUUGAAAGUUGAUUUCAGGGACGAAUUUGCUUCAGUUUUUAAAUGCCAAAAACGAAUUUUCUUCCUUUUAAAAAUAAGUGACUAAAAGAAUAUUUUUAUAAAAUAUGAAGGAUGAAACUGAUCAUUUUUUCGAAUAUAUCAUGUUAUCUCUUGGAUAGACUUGAAAUUUUUUUUAUUCGACAGGCCAAAAAUUUUUUAGUUCAAGAAAAACUCUAAACUUUACAAACUGAAAGAUAGAUUUGAAACUUUUAAAGAAUGUAAUUAGUACAACAUUGUUUUGUAAAACCUAAUAGAUUUAGACCAUUGAAGAGAAAAACAUUUCUUGCUAGCGAAUUGGAGAACGUAUUGUAUGCCUUUGGGAAGUAGUUAAACUGUCUUGAACAAACACAAGUACCCUAAGUUACUAGCACUAAGAACUCCAAAAGUUCCUUAUAUUGCUUGAUGAAACGCAUUUCAAAUCUCCAUAUGCUACACUUUGUUUUGAUUGGACUUCGUCCUAAUCUUUCUCUAACACUUUAGCUGUCACCAAGAAUUAUAUUUUAUUAAUCAUGGACUGCAUUUUUUCGUUCCUUAUCAUCCGUCUUGUUUACUUGAUUUGACUGUGGUACACUUAAAAUUGCACAGCCUAGCUAGCUAUUACAAGUUAAAUGCAUAGCCAUGAUGGUAUAAUAAUUUGUAUUAGAAGAUCAAUAGCGGACUCUAUCUUUUUGGAGUCAAUUAAGCUUCGAGUCUUGUACAUCACAGCCAACUAAUCAAUUACAUUUGCUGGCCUCUAUACUUAUCUGCUUUAAAAUUAUCCCAGACUGCCACUUGCCAGGUGCUUAAUCUGCCUGUUAGCACUCUAGAAGAAGGACCUAUAUCUCACAAGGAUAUAGUUUGCUUUGUUUAAUCUGCCUGUUUGCUUAAGGAUGCCAACAUUAAUAUCUCAUAAACUGAUAAAGGAACUAUAAAUGCAAAAAUAAAUGCCAAGGCCACUAAUUUGGUACUUAGAUUCUUUGGAUCUCAACUAGUUCAAUUACCAAUUCUUGACUUGUAAUCUGUUUUGUCCUCUGUAAUCUGAAUCUAUGCCAACUUAGUUCUUUGUAUUUUGGUAAGUUUAGUCCUUUACGUAUCAGCAUCAUAGUUAAUUGUUAUAAUUGAACAGGAUAAGGUUGAGGGAUGAAAGAUGUAUAAAUGCAAAGAAAAUGCAAUAGGGUCAGAUGACUCAAAAUCUUGGAGGAUAGGCAUUAUUGAACUUCAUAUUCAUGAACCAAGGUUUGGCCGGAACAUAGAAAUCAACAUUACAACUCCAUUUCAUGAGUUUGUUUUAAAAAUAAAAAUAAAAAUGGGAGAGCAUCUCAUGAGUUUGUUCUAUGAAAAAGAUGAUUAUUCUUAUGUUACAUUUGAUACAUUUAAGCUUCUAUAUCUCGCAUAAGUCCUCAUUUACUCUUAUAUAUCAAUUUUAACUUAAGGAAUUUUCUACUCUGUCCGCAAUAAAGAAUACUAUGAAAGCAAUGUGGUUCUUGUCAAAUCAACUCCAAAACCAUGAUGGAACACAAUUUUCUUACUUCUAUCAGAAAAUAAAUUAAGCACAAUAUUGGUUAUGUCCUUUGACCCAGAACUUCAACUUAAGAUAGCCCAAUUCUCAUGUCAAUUCCAAAAUAUAUACCGAAAAAUAUACUUAGAACAUUUUGAAAAUGUAAUAAUAGUGACAACAUGAAUAAACCAAGUAAAUAUAUAUUUGAUACAAGAUACAAAUGACUAAUGAUAGACGUAUACAAGUUUGCAAGUCACCAAUUCUUCUCAAAUCAGAAGCAGCAAGGUUUUUAGUCUUAAAUGACCCAAAUGUGGGAAAAUGACAUAUGGAAAACUUGAUCACAAUGUUUCGAAGUUUGAAGGCACAAACAAAAUUAAUUCAUGGAAGACAAUAUGUAAUAGAUGACAGAUCCAAUAUGGAUUAACAAUUUUACAGUUUUCCCAAGAAUCAGUCAUAUUAUUACAUUGCCGGCUACUAAUCAAACUCUAAUUUUAAGUUGUAGCAAAGAAUAUUCAAGAGUUGAAAAAGUGCAUUUGACACUUGAGAGAAGAAUGUCCUUUGCGUAGCAGACAUAACUGUUGAAUCAUAGGAAUAAACUAAAAAGCAAAUUUCAAUGAUUUUACGUGAUAUUUAUUGAUAUUGACCUCCCCAUUUCUCGUGAAUGGCUUCCAACAAAGUAGAUGACCGUGGCCAUUUUUGCUAAGAUUAUUCCAAAAUUUUGUUCUUACAUGUCUGAUUCAAUGAAUCUAGCUGCUAGAUGGUUAACUCAUGUUGACUUCAGUAGACUUUCUACCAGAAAUGAUCUCCAAAAAGCCCAGAGAGAGAGAAAGAGAGGCAGCAUGUUGCCUUACUGAAAUUUUCAAUCUGAAAUGAGGACAAAUUGACAACAUGUUAUACUGAUUUUCUUUGAAACUUGCCGUAAUCAAAUGCUUUUCUUCCAAGGUUUCAAAAUCUUAUUGAUCACAGUUCAUUGCGCAGAAUAGCCUAGACGAAGUUGUUGGUUGGUCAAGUCUAGCCUUCGUAAGAACAGUAAUACACAAACUAUUCUUCUAUAGUAGCAGUACGGUUAAUAAUUGUGUUGAAUAAGCAAGAAAGCUACAACUUAGGAAUAAACAAUCAUAGUUUUUGCACAUCAAGAAUUGAAUAUACCACCGAUGGCUAAACAUAUGCAUAUUUCUGAUAUAGAUUAUACCAACAUGACCAACAUCACAUACCGUGAAAGCUACAAAUAUUAUUCUAAUCGGGUAAUUUGUAUCGUUUGAAAUUUUAAAGAUUCAGAAAAAUAUCUAAAGAUUAGAGGUGAAAACAUCUAAAAUAUUAUAUAAGAUUUAUUUCUUCUAUAAUAUUCCUAUUUACCUUUUUGACAAAUAGUCAAACUUACCAUUCUCUAAGUUUAUAUAUCUAUGUCAUGCAUCUAUUUCCAAACAAUGAAAUGAUCCAGUCUUGAGGAGUUUAUAUAGAGUUCGUUUUUAAGGUCAAACUAAAAACCCUCUUUGCAAAGAUAUGAGUGCUUUCGCAGUUUGCACUAGAUUUAUUUCUCCCUUUUGGUCCCGUCAAUAAAACAAGAUAGUUUUCUAGUCCUAAGCAUGUUGGUUUGACAAUAAUUGCAUCUUAAUGAAACAAACUUCAGCAAACUCUGCCUUAAAGUAGACGCUAAUUGAUAUAUUCAAAAUCUUAGACGAGAACAAAAUCUUGAAAACAGAUCUCGCAUCUUUGGAUACAAACAAUUAUAAGUAUAUGCUAAUCAUGUUCAGUUAUUGCUAGAAGGAAGGAUCGGUGCACUAAAAAUUGCCAAUAAAUUGAAUACUUUGCCGGCAUAAUAAGAAAACAGAAGUGAUUAUUCUAUUAUGAUUCCACCAAAAAAAAAUAAUAUUUCCUUAGUUCUUAGCCCAGAUAUAUUAUUUGGGGGCAAAAAAAUUUAAGAAUCUAGUGACACUUUAAAUGUGCAUUAUGAUAUAAGCCAUGUCUACAAGUGCACACGUACUAGUUAACCACUUCUUUGACAAUCUGUACAUUUCACAUAGAAAAACAUAAGCAUUAAGGUUGGUGGUUCAACAUUUCUCAUCCCAUAUCCUAAAUGAUAUGAUUUUAGUGCUAAAAAGGAAAGAAACUACAUAUAAUUACAGAAAAAGUAAGUGAUUUAAUUUGAUACACUGCUAAUUAUAGAUUGAGUUUGGCAGUGCAAUCGACAUCAACUUCUUGACUGAGAACUUGAACAGAAAUGUCACAAGUGCUAAAGACCUUUGCAUCAAACUUGAAAACGUUCAGCACAACCGCUUUACCAUGCAAAUUUGCAGUUGAUGUAAAGUUCAAACGCCCAGAACCAAAAUCUUGCCAAAAAUAUGGACUUGUAACCAGCUUUUCUGCAGUAAUAUUUGCAAUGGUGCUAAUAUUAAGCUUUCCCCUUGCUGGAACACUUCCUUCUUCAAGCGGGAUUGCAGCGAUAUUCAUCCCACGGUAAUCAACAAAAGUUGUGGAGUUCUUGAACUGAAAUCCUCCAUAAUUUCGAUUGUAAAUGGUGGCGUUUAUUCCCAUUGUUGCAUUUAGGCUUAGGGUUGGAAACAAUUGAAAUUGAACGUUUUCUAGCUUUGCUGGUAAGGGUUUGAUCAAGGGAUCUUUAGGCUUGAAAACAGUAAAAACUAGUGUGACAGAAAGAACUACAAGAAUGAUGAGACCUAUUGCUGAAGCACCACAGCAAAUUUUGAGGUUUCUCUUUGAUCUUCUUGGUAGAGCCAUGUUAUCUCAGCUUGAAAAUGCAAUCUGCACAAUUAAUCUUCUGAUGAGUUGUUGAAGAAUGGUUGAAAUAUUACAAGCGUGAUUUAUAUACCAGUUCAAUUGAUUGAUGUGGACAAUAGGAAAUUCUUAGUACACGACUCAUUUUUUGUAAUAAAGUAGGGAUUUUUUAGCUUGAGUUAACUGUUUGGUUAUGUUGACAAGGUUGGUGUCCUUUGCCUUACGCAGUCGUCCACAUAAGGAGACGUGCGGGAAAACGAUGUGUUAACAUAGAUGAUUAACCCUCCAAAAUAUGAACAAUUGUCAGUUCAAUAUAAACUUUCAACUUUAUAACACAAGAAUAUAUAUUUAUCUUUUCCUUUGAAUUGUUAAACUUCAAAAGUUGUUCUAAUUUUUUUUUUUUGUAAGCAUAUUUGUUCUGAUAUAGAAAAAAAAAAUAGUAACCAAAAAGCUAAUUAAACAGAAUAUAAGGAGGAAUGAUUUUAGGAGAUAUUAAUAAAUUUGGUUUUGGUUUUUUAGCAAAUAAAUAAAUACAUAAACAGAAGGCAAUCAAAAAAAUUUAAACAGAGAAAAAGAAAUGGAGUACCUCUCUCAUAAACAGAAAAAUCAAGGCCUUCUGUCAAAUUACUUGUCUUUGAUAACCAUUCUUUACGUUAACUUUCAUGUAUUCAUACUCUAAAAGCAAAAGAAAUCAUACCAGCAUAUAUAUAGCUAGUGAAGACUUUGCAUAAGCAAUUUGUUUUCUUAGCCAAUAGCCAUGACUUUAUAAAAUCAACAGACACCACUUUUCAUUUGUCUCAUUCACUAAGGAAUGCAACUUUUUUUUUUUCACUUUUCGUUUCUUUUGAUUAGUAGAAACAGUCUAUUUCAGGAACUAGGAAGGAUUUUAGUCUAGAAUUUUAAGCCAGCAUAAAUAUCUUCCUUUUAUUACAUUGCUCAAUCACUCCAAAGUUUGCAACGCUUUGUAGUUUGUGUCUUUUGGGUGAGAUACAAGCGCCAAAAAGAUCAGAUUUGGCUCUCUGUUUUUAUAGGUAGCAACUUUUCAGGCUUCUUACACAGUACUUGAAGCAAAAAGGGUAAUGUGAAACUUAGGAAAAUUGAAGUGAAGAAACCAUAUUCAAUAACCAUAUACGUAUUUUUAUCUUUAUUUUGAAGAGAAAGGAGAUGAAAGCGUUAGAAAAGAAUUGUAUAAUUUCUUUUGCUUGACUAUAAAGAUCUGUUUAUACUAGCGGAACUAAGUGCCUGACACGUUACUUUUAUUCAAUAUGAAAUUCUCAUCCACUAGAAAUUUUUACACGUGUAGAACAUAUUAAACAUUAAAACUACCAAGUUAAAUUAUUCUAGAAAACAGUUAUUCCUAAUAGCAAACAAAUCAUGUGUUUUUUCAAAUUUAAGCCCCGUUUGAAAUUGCAGUAACUUAUAAAGAAACACUUUUAACACGAGCGCUUUUAAGUUACCAAAAGUUGACCUACUUAAAAUAUGAAAAAUUAAUUAUCAAAUGCUUUAAAAAUACUUUUAAUGUUUAAAAGUAUUUUUUUUUUUAUAGACGCACUGCAACCCUAAACGAAGCCUCACACAGGAAUUAUAUUUGCCGCACGUCACAUCGAAUCUGAUGAUAAUAAACGCAUUAGGAUUCAAGAUUGCUCCUUCUUGAACGUGAAUGUUAAGAAGCAAAUUGGCCAAUUGGGUUUGUUUGGAUUGAAAUAUAGUAGCCCAAAACUCACUCAAGAAAACCCAUUUGCAUCCUUUGUUGGGCUACCCUAACUGAGCCCAAAAUAAAAUCUAUAAUCCCAAACUCAAAAUUUACCCGAACUAAAUUCCAAAUGAUUAGUGGAUAGAUAAGAUUGAACGCCGUGAUUUAUUCUACCGGCUGCAUUGGGCUGACUUUUUCUUCUCUUAUUCGUUUGUGGUAAACAGCCUUGGGCUUCGAGAGAGCUACACCUUUUUAACUUAUUUUACGGGCAAAAGCUUUCUAGGAGACACUUGAUUAACGAAUUAAAUCAAAAGUAAAUUUAAUGACAAUGUAUAUAUUAUCGUUGUUGCAUAAUAUGUGUAAAUGUUGAAUUUUAAAUUCAAAUUUUAUAUAAUUAUCAUUCAUCCAACGUUGACAAUGUAUAAACUGUCAAUAUAGAAAAGAUUAAUCCUUAAAACAAAUAAUAUAACAAUAGAUUCUCCAAAAAAAAUAUACAACUAUCAGAAAGAGAAAUAUACACAUCUAAAAAACUGAAAUAUUAAAUUUUUUUGGAAGGAAUUUAAUAUGAAAUAUGUGAAGAAUCAUAACUUAACAUGAAAUGUUAGCACUUUUAUUGCGCUUUGCUCGAACUCUGUAAAUUUGAUCACAAUGAAAAAUACAGUUCCAAGGUUUAUCAUCGCAGAGUGAAAUUGGAAGUUAAAAUUCUUCAUCAUAUUUAUAAGGAAAACAAUAACGUUAGAAUUAGCUUUUAUCUUUUUUGGUUGGAGAGAAAACAACAAUAUUUUGAAGGGUAUUUAAGAGAAAUAGGUGGGAGGAUCAACAACUAAUUUAAUUCUCUGCCGGUUUGGAAUCUUUACAGACCGAUUCAUGAUGGAUAUCUUGAGCCUGAAAUUUGACUCAGUGUUAACAUUGUCGUGUUUGGUUAGACUUGAUGGAAGAAUGACAAAACAAUUUCAACAGAAAAUAUUGUGCUUUCUUGAAAGGGAGAAGAUGGUUUUCAAAUCUAAGCAAGAAUUAUCAAAAUAAAGAUUCAAUAGUGAUUUAUAUAGAUUGAGAAGAUGGUUAAGAAGAUUUUUUUAUUCUUAAUUCUUCAUAAAGUGACUUCUGAAUAUUGUCAUUGAAAUUUGAAACCUAUUAGGUGCCACGAAACAAAUUUGUGUUUAUGUUCAAAUUUUGUAGAAUUAAAAAAGUAAAAUAUAUCCCAAAAAAUUACACAAUUCAUAUUAUGGCAUGCAUGUUUGAUAAGCUGUUGAAGACGCUAAACUUAUCUUUGCUACUACACGAGUUAAAGAAAUGCAAGUUAUGGUAAUGCUCCUGCACUUGACCAUACACCAAGUAUGAUACACGAUUCUUUGAAUUAACUUUGUAACUAUAUCUACUCAAGAAAUUUUUUUUUUUACAAUAAAGAUUGGUAUUGACAAAUAUUAAUUAUGGAACCAUUUUUAUUGUUUUCUAUAUUCUUUUCGAUUUAAAUUACCGUAAGCUUCUUUUCCCUCCUCAUGCUAGACCUUCUAAAAAAUUUCUAAAUCACAAUAUUCUACCUCGAAUAAAUAGAAAAUUUACAAAACUAUGCUUUAAUAAAUGUGAUGUAUUGGCUUUCUCUCCGCUCCUCCCCUCCACCCUCUAUCUAAUAAGCUUAGUAAAAUAUAGAUAGAAACUCUAAGUGAAAAUUGACAAUUUUUUCUAGACAGUGUAAACUUUAAUAAUAAGUUAUAAUUCACUAUACACAAGUUGUAUAACUUUAUAACAACAAAAUGAAAACAUAAUGCUAUUCACAAUAAACAAGUACGUGUGAGUUGUGUUAGUAUUAUUUGAACUAUACUUUUUGAAAUUUUACUUUGUUUUCGUGAAACUUUAGGGCUUGAUCCCUCCAAAAAGAACUAUACUUUUUGAAAUUAUACUUUGCUUUCAUGACAUUUUAGGGCUUGAUCCCUCUAAAAACCAGAAAGAACAAAACUAAGGGACCGUAUUUGUUUGGACUGAAAAUAUUUUCUAAAAAAUGUUUUUCACAAUUUCCGGUGUUUGGUUGCCUUAGAACUGGUAAAAAUAUUUUACACAAGAAAUUAUUUUCCCCAUUUCGAUGUAAAACAACUUCCUUAAAUGAGGAACUGAAAUUAUUUUCCAAAACAACACAUGCAUUGUCAAACUUGAAACUCUUGUCAUUUGUUAAUACAAGAACAUUCAAUCCAAAAAACACGAAAAGACCUCAAAAGUGUGUCAUACAAUUUGCUGAAUCUUCACUCGUGACAAACUCAUCAAUGAUUUCAUUACCAACAAACUUUCGGUGUAGAUGGAAUUUUCUCCUUUUUAACAGCUUGAUUUUCCUUCUCCAUGAAGAUUCUUUUUUUUUCUAUUUUCUUUUGAAACCCCAAUCUUUUUUCAUCAAAUUGCUCUUGAUCUUUAUCCUUGGAAGUUUAUACUAUCUGAUUAUGAAAAUUGAAUUUAGAGUCUGAAAAUAUUAAUUAUGGAAACAUUUUUAUUGUUUUCUGUCUUUUACAGUCUAGUGGUACUCUUUUGGAUUUAAAUUACUGAAAGCUUCUUUUCUUUUCCCUCUUCAUUCUAGACCUUCUAAAAAAUUUCUAAAUCACGAUAUUCUACCUCGAAUAAAUAGAAAAUUUACAAAACUAUGCUUUAAUAAAUGUGAUAUAUUGGCUUUCUCUCCGCUCCUCCCCUCCACCCUCUAUCUAAUAAGCUUAGUAAAAUAUAGAUAGAAACUCUGGGUGAAAACUGACAAUUUUUUCUAAGCAGUGUAAACUUCAAUAAUAAGUUAUAAUUCUAUAUACACAAGUUGUAUAACUUUAUAACAACAAAAUGAAAACAUAAUGCUGUUCAUAAUAAAAAGUAUGUGUGAGUUAUGUUAGUAUUAUUUGAACCAUACUUUUUGAAUACUUUGUUUUCAUGAAAUUUUAGGGCUUGAUCCCUCCAAAAAGAAGUAUACUUUUUGAAAUUUUAUUUUGUUUUCGUGAAAUUUUAGGGCUUGAUCCAUCCAAAAACCAGAAAGAACAAAACUAAAAGGAAGCCAUCUUGCAUCUCAGCUUGGCUUGUUGACUAGGUAGCAAAACAUACAAUAUGUCAACCUCAUAUGUGCUUUCUUUAGAAUGUAACGCCAACAAAAUAUUAUCGUUACUUACACCACAUAUAAUCUCUGUAUUUAUUGUCUCUUGUAUUUCUUCUUUUCUUGCCGGCCUGCCCAAAAUGGCACCUAGUUACCUAGUAUUUUGGGUUAAUUUCAUUUUAGUACUCAUAACUAGCCUAAAAAUUAUAUUGAUCCCUUAAAUUGAGAGAGUUUCUUUUUUAUCCUCCAAAGUUGCAAAACAUCUCAGUAUGGUCACUCGAGCUGAAAAGGCUUCAUUUGGUCCACAAAAAAGAAAAAAAUCUCACUUUUAUUCAUCAAAGUGAAAAGAUUUCAAAUUCGUCUUUCAAACUAAGCUGUCCAUUCCAAAUUGGUCUUCUAAGCCUCUUUGCUAAAGAGAGGGGCAAAGCUACACCUUCCCAAAUAGGAGAAAAUGUACUACAACUAUGAAUUUUUUGAACACUAUUAUAUAUGCUCCCAUUAAUUGUAAGAAAUACAUACAAACAUACUACUUUAUACAUACAUAUAGAUAUAUACAUAUGUCUAUACAUAUAUGUGUAACAACUACUUAUUAUGUUCUAUAAAUGUUAUUAAUUUGUAAGUUAUGUUUAGAAAACGAAGAAGAAUUUGCUCUUUGCCCUACUCAAAGAUGAUUCUAGUUCUGCCACUAAUUGAAAGUAUUAAAUAUUUACUUGUUGUACAAGGGUUUAUUAGCAAAAGGAUAAACAUAACCACAACUAUUUUAAUUUGUCUACAAUAAGUUCUUUGCCAUUAGAUUUUUUAUUUUAAGAAUGGGAUCUUUUUGCUGGUUACUUAUGAUUUUAACAUAGAGAGAUUUGGAGGUUCAUUAAACAAAAAAUUGGUAUGAACUAAUUUAAUUCAACAAAAAAAAAAUGCACAUGUUUAACUAAAGUCAUUGAGGGAAGAGCACUUAGUAGAAAAAUGAAACAACCUUACUUAGUUUUUGUUGUUAUAGUUAUUUAACUGUUAACAAUAAAAUGGAAUUAAGGAGAUCUUGAUUUAGUGGUUAAGGUUGAAAUUCUAAAAUAUACUACUAGUUUUUAGGUUCUAAAUACUUCUAAUUCCACUCCCUCUCUUUCUAAAUCUCUCCUCCUCCCAUGUUAUAAAAAAAUUUUAAAAAACUGUUAAUAAAAUGGAUUUGGUAGACGAAAUUGGAACCUUUUUUAAGUUUGAAGGACCGGAAUUUCAGUGUUAGGGACCAUAUUAAAUAUUGUGCUAAUUUGGAAGACCAAUUAAGAAUGUUUUGCUACUAUAGAAAUCUAAAUCACCAAAUUUAGAUUUUGGAUCAAUAUGGAGGACCAAAAUAAGAUAACAACAGUUUUAUUUCCUGCACUAAAAAUUAAGAUCACACUGCAUAUUCUUUUCACUAAGCACAGCUCACGUCCAUUGUUGUCUUCAUUACAUCAUCUUUCUUCUUCUCUUGACUCAUCUUUUUCAAAUCUUCACCUCGGCCCUCUUUCUUUCCGCUUCUGCUCAGUUGAAUUCAAGGGCUCUACGUCAUGAAUGACCUUCUUAGUGUAAGUUGAUUGUGAUUUCUUGGCUAGAAUUUGAAUGUGUUGAUUUUUUCCUAUAUCAUAAAGAUUGAUCUUGAGUUACUAUUCAUUAUCUUGAUUGUUGAUUUAUUGAUAUCAUGAGGAAGGAUACUUAAUUUAAUGGUUUUUUUAAAACCUCUUAUCUUUCCAAUUUAUGAUAUCAACAUAUUAGGGAGAACCCAUGUGGAAGAAAAUGUUUAAUUUGUUUAUUUGUGAUUAGAUUGCUGAGGGGUUGAUGGAAAAGACAUAAUUUUUAAUGUAAAUUGUUUGUGCUGUUACUGAUCUGGCAAGUUAAGUCAGAUAUGUGUUUUGUUUGGAUCCCAACCCGCAAAAGUAGAGUCUGAUAGAUGUAGUCAUGUAGAGAACAUUUUUUGGUGCUGAAUGAUAAGUGUUAACUGCAAAAGUGGUUAAUAAACUUUCCUUGUUUGUGUAAUAAAGAUGAAUGUGAAGGGAGAAGGUGAAAAGACUGAAACUUUAUUGGUAGCUCAUGUCAAUCUGUUUGAGCUUGAGUUCUAUAUGGCUUUCGCAGAUGAAGUGACGUAUAUGUAUAUAAUUCCGUGGUGCACAUAGGAUGCAAAGAAAUCACAUUUUCCUCUUCUCCUGGCCUGUUUCAGGAUUCGUUUGUUAGCGAUGAGCAGCAUCCAACCAGAGGACCGGACAUUGAGAUGGGCACUCGGCUUACAAGGAAUAAUUCAGACUUGGGAAUGGAAGCUUUUAAUAAACAGGCAUGAAAUUUAGGCCUAAUUUUUUUUUUUUUUGUAGUAGUUGUUCAUAGUGGCUAUUAAAACUGGGAGGUUUUCUGUCCCAUUUAUGUUUUUUCAGUUUUCAUGAUUGGCCUUUUCAUUCUUGUUCUAGAUACAAGAGGUUGAUAAACAGGUGGACAAACUCUCUGAGUUACUGAAGAAACUCAAGGUAUGCGACUUUUCUCAGCAAGGAACUAUUCAGCUAAACAUUCAGUGUGUACAAGUAAUUUUAUUUGUUUAAUCAAAGGGUUCUAUCCUUUUUGUAUUUGAGGUGAAUUCGAAAUUCCUUGGCAUGAGACAAUUUACUGAAAUGAUGUUGCUAAAAAUUUCUGUUCUUUUACUAGGAUCUGUCUUAGUUUUGGACUCUGAUUUUAAAUCUGUGGCAUAACUAUGUUUCCAGAAUUGUGUGGUUCACAAACUGACAUGCACAUCUAAAUCUUUGAAAACCGAUUUUAGAAUUGUCGAUUUGACGAAGUAGAAUUUUUUUUUAAAAGAUUUUUGGCAAAAAUUAGGAUUUUCCAUCUUAAGAGUUUUGUCAGAUUAGAGCCUGCAAGUCAAAGGUGCAUAGACAUCUGUGUUAUUCCUAGUUUACAGAGGAAAAUAGUGAAGUUCAAAAUUUGCAGCAGGGGCAACUGCCCUUCUUAACCCCCAGGCUUUCCAUCAUUGGUUGUCUUAAGAUAAUACCAGAUAUGUGUUGAUCUAUCAUUGUCUUAAAAUUUCUUGCUUGGAUGUGGAUGAGCUUUGAUACUUGGGUUGUCUUCUCCUCCCUUAAAACUUCCCUCUGUUGCCUUCCUUUCUUCCUCUGCUUAUCUGUGAGGAGCUGAGGUAUCAAGAUUGAAUAUGCCUGGGAAAGGAUAUGUUCUUCUUUCAGGACUUUCAGGAGAGGUAUCUUUUGGCCUACCAUGCUAUGUAGGACAUAUAAGUUGAAGAUUAAAGUUGAUUAAAUUUUGUGAAACUUAUAGUCAUUUAUGCAAUUUGCUGCAUAGAAACCAAGGCAAUACCGCUGAAAAUGCUAAGACUAACAAUGCUGGCAUUUGUAAGAGAGGAUGGAAGAGAAUUGAAUGCUCUGACAAGGGAAGGUUCCAAGCUUUUAUAUGAUUUUGAAUAUCAGGAUUUCACUGGAAUUAGUGCUAAUUUGAAGGACAUUGAAGUGAUAAAAUAGAAAGCUUUUUGAUAUAAAUGACUUGGGAGUCAUGGUAUUGUUCUAGAAAGUUGAUUCAGCAUGAAAGGAUUAGUAUAAAAAAAGAAAAAGGAACAAUUAAGCAACAAGAUGCGGUUCAAUGCAUGUUGUGUGUAUUUUCCAACAAUUAAUUUCUUGCCAUGCUCAAUUUGAUACUCCUGACUGCCAAUGGGUCUUCUGUGUGAACACUAACUUUAAAGAUCAAAUUGGUCAAACUCACAGGGUAUGACUGAGAAACAUCAAAUGUUUGAAAGAGCCUUUGGUAUAUAAUGGCAUAGAUUUCUUGCUUAAUACUACGGAAGGAUGAACCUUCUACGGUCAUAUGAAGUCAGGUUAGAGUCAUUUAGGGUCAAGAAUGCUCAUUUGAAUUGCUAUUUUUUUCACGGUGUUCCUAUAAAAAGGUUGGCUAUGUUAUUUGAAGCAUGGGUUGAGCGUAAUGCUGUAUUACCUUGUGGCGGGACUCAAAAGUUAGUAGAGCAACAUUCUCCUAUAAGGAGGCAUCUCAUGAAUGAGGAAAGGUAUCUUAUUGGAAGGGGAAAUAUAUACCGGUACAUUGAAGACUAUAAUGAAGAAUUAUAGAAGAAUGUGAGUAAUUAUCAUUUUCAUCAUCAAGUAAAUGCUUGCCUUAUGUGGGGCACAGAAUGCUUGGGAAAGUUAAUAUCCAUGAAAAUGCAUGAACAUCUAGAGAUGCAUAAUAUAUCUGUGCAAGAAUAUGUUUGUUUUAAUGGUCGAUAGUGGAUUCCUUGGUUCCACAAGAGUGGAGUAUCGUUCUGUAUUUGUAUUUAUGUAUAUUUCCUGGAAAGUAAAGUUCGCAAGAAACUUAAUAUGUGCGCAACCUUGUGUACACAACAAUAGAUAUGAGUAAAUGUUUGUGUGUUUAUACUUCUUGGCAUUGUCCUGAUUGUUGAAUAAUGUUCAUUAGAGUUCUAUUGUUGUAAUUUUAUGUUUUUUCAGUGGAAAUGGUUGACUUUGUUAUAGAUUGAUGUGCUUUUUAUCUUGAAAAUGAGGUGGUUUAAGUGACAGAUGCAAAAAUGGGUUUGUAAUUGCAUCAUCUUUGUGCUCUGUCUAAGAACAUAGAAGACAAAUUUAAGCCUCAGUGUAAAAGGAGAAUAUUGGUUUUUUGGCUUGUGGUAGUUGUCUGCUCAUUAACUAUCUUCCUCUGGGUCCACGUACCCAUUUCCCAGUCAAGAUUUUGGAGCAUCCUCAUUGUGACACACCUCCAAUUUUCAUGUUUGCUUUCGGGCUGAAUGCUUUAUAUGCAGCAUCCUGCUUGUUAGUAGUUGAGCAGUAACUUACCUGGUCGUACUUUAUUCAGCCAUUGUAGAAAUUCUGUACUUUAUCAGUGUGUAGCCAUUAAUAACCAUGAACUUUGAACUUCUAAUUGUACACAUUAUAAGGAAAGGAAUGACAAAAGUUAAUGAAGGUGACCAACAGUUAUAUUAUGUUUGAGCCUAUAUGCACGGGAUCCACCUUUGCCUCUCAAUGCUGGCAUUACUGGUUCCCCUAUGAAGACAUGGAGUACAAGUUUUAGUUUAUUAACUGUGCCUACAUUUGCAGGAGGCUAAUGAGGAAUCAAAGUCAGUUACAAAGGCCUCGGCUAUGAAAGGUGGAAUAGUCUUUUCUCGUUUACUUCUAAUGAUCACAUAUCUUUUAGAUUCUGAGUGCUACAAUACAUUGACGCUUUGAGGCAUCUAGCUAUCUGACGGGCAUAUGGCUUCAUUAUUCCAAUCAAGCACAGCAUAUUGAUACGACCACAAUUUAGUAAUACAAGCUAUGAUGAAAGAAAUUGUCAAAAAGCUUAGUGCAGAUUGAAGUAGAUGAGAAACUGUGUGCUUGCCUCUUUUGUAUCAUUUGUUUGCAGUUUUUAGCUCUUUUUGAAAAAAAGUUGAAUAUAAAAUGGAUCCAAUCAAUCAUCUGGUAGUAAUUAUUUUAUUGUCCUCAAAAUUUGUUUAUUCUUGCAGCCAUCAGGAAGCGUAUGGAGAAAGAUGUUGAUGAAGUGGGGAAGAUUGCACGUGGAGUAAAAGGAAAAUUGGAAGCAUUAAACAGAGACGUAAUCAUCUAUUCAUCUUAUUUUGGAUCUCCACCAGGUUUCAGCAUGCAUAUUGUAACAGGACUGUGAACUCGUUUUUUGUCUCUCCAGAACCUGGCAAAUCGACAGAAGCCUGGGUGUGGGAAGGGAACUGGUGUUGACAGAUCAAGAACAAAUAUGACAAAGUUUGUUGUGCUUGCUUAAUUCAAUUGUCAUAUUCAAAUGGUUUUGAGUUUUGUGCUAGAAUGAAAUGUAAAAUAUUUUUCUGAAUGCAGUGCCCUAACAAAGAAGUUUAAGGACUUAAUGAUAGAGUUUCAGGUAAAAUUACAAGCUUAUGUUAUUGAUUGAUAGUCUUUGUCUUUUUUUUACGACAAUCCCUUAUUCCCUGUAUCUACUUUGGGACUCAUAAAAGAACAUUGUACCAGAAUUUGAGACAAAAGAUAGAUGAUGAAUAUCGUGAAGUUGUGGAGAGGAGGGUGAUUACAGGUUUGAAUAACUUUAACUUGCACUAUUGGCAUAUCAUAUUAAGUGUCUUUUGUUUGGUUUGAUUGGAUUUCUCUUCACCAUCUUGAUAUUAUAGCUUCCUGAUUGCAGUCACUGGAACCAGACCAGAUGAGGAGGUAAGCCUAAUACCUGUACUACAUUUAAAUUGGAUAGUACUGGUGGCUUAACAUCAAUUUUGACUGCGUCAGACAAUUAACCACCUGAUAGAAACCGGGAGCAGUGAACAAAUAUUCCAGACGGCUAUUCAAGGAAUGGGACGAGGACAGGUACUCAUGUUUGGGUUUUAGAUACGACAAGCAUUUGUUUCCUUCUGCAAAUGUUGAAGUUGUGUAAUCUAAUGCUUGUGAAGCUAAAAUUUUUGCUUAUUUGAUAAUCUGUGUUUAUCCCACCCCGUUCCCCUCUUUUAGAUAAUCUUCUUGGACUCCAGUUUGAUCAUCUCAAGCUUACUUGAUUCCUGUUAUGAAAAUAAAAUAAGCUAGAAAGAAGAAGAUAAAUAGGUUUUCUAUGUGUUGGUUGCACGUUGUGACCUAGUGAGUUCAUUUACUGGUGUCAGAUGAUCGGUAUAUCUCUCUAUAGGACAACAUUGUUAACUACAAACCAUUAUGGAGUGCCUUGAAUGAUGGUUCUAUUCCUUCAUUUGUCUACUCUUUGAACAGUUUUUGGAGGAUAUAAACUGUUCAUUACGUCUAAUACUUCUGAGAUGCUUUUACUAUAGCCCAAGAAAAAGUUGUUUUCGUUUCUCUGUGUCUGGAUGCUGCUGACUAUUUCUUUAAUGGUCUGGGUUUCUUGAAGUCAUGGGCCCUGUACCUUAGCUUAAAUUUAAGAUCAAAAGCAUGCUAGAGUAUUCAAAUUCGUUUGGGCCUGUAUUUGUGCUUCUAUAUACCAAUGUGCCCUCUUGUUCUAAUAAUUCUUAUGCAACUUUUUGAUUCCAUUUCUGAAUUAAUGAACACUGCCACGUCGUUAAGCUCUGUAGGUAAGAGGCACUUUGUUUUCUAGCCGUACCUUGGCUAAACCAAAUCCUGAUCAUCCAAGACAUUUCUCAGCUUUAACUUGUUCUAGAGAUUCUGCAAACUUAGUUCCAUGUUUUUACCGCUUUAAAGGGAGUGAACAAGGAGGAGUUGAAACCUCACUCAGUUUGAUCAAAUUGAUAAAUAGGAAAUGGGGCUUCAAUUUGUUUAACAGAGUGCAGAUGAGCUCGUGUUAUUUAACAACUGGAAUUCCAGACUUGAGUGUUAUAAACACUUUGAGGAGAGAGAGGCGUAUGAAGUUAUGUGUAGUAUUAGGGUAAUAAGUGAUCAUGCACUUGGUUUUUUAUGAACUUUUGAACCUUAGAACAAAGUUAUUCUGGUAAGGAGCUUGCAUACAAAGGAACCUCAUUGGGUUGUGCCUGUCUCUUGCCCACAUUUCAAAUGGUUGAAAAUUCGGGGUACUCUAAAUAAUAACUGACACCAAAUGUGUGAAAUUGUAAUAUUACCUUCGACACACAGCAAAUUGCCCAGAUAUACUCUACUAUAUGAACUAAGAAGUAUGGAUUUCAAUACAUGGAACCAUCUCCAAUGUUGUCUGCCAGUGAAAUCAUAACAUAUUGCACUUUCUAGAACCCACAGUGACACGAAUCUUGUUUGGACUUCCCCUGGAUAAACUCAUAGCUGUGACUCUUUUCAUUGUUUUAUAUUCCAUGGUUAACGUAUUACAUAUCACGCAAAUGGGUUUAACUCAAAUUUUCAUGGUCUUUAUGGAGUAUCAAUGUCUUGAUUUCAGGAUACAUAGUAAAAGUAUGUAAGCAUCGAAAUAAACCAAAAAAAGGUAGCCUUCUAAUGAUAUGAUUAUAGAGUUUUCUUACAGCUAAAUCACUCCCUUUGUCUUGGAGAUAUUGAUGAGUAAAAUUUUAGUAAAAGAUUGGCAAAGAUUCUGGUGAAGCUGAAACAGUUUUUCUUGUCUUUUUCCUUUCCUGAGCUUCUUAGUUUGGCCAUCUCUGAACUUGUAUAAUUUUUCUCUACUGAUUAUAAGAUGUGGAAGAAAUCUUGGGACAAAGGCACAGUCAUGUUCUCUGAUUCUGAUAGUGAAUUGGUCCUUCUAAUUCAUACUCCAAUUUUUUGAGGCCUGUAUUACCAAUUCUGAUUCUUAAUCUUGCCCAAUGUAUAGUUGGAUGAGUUCUGGAUCUUGCCUCUAUAUAUCUCUACACUAAGUUUUGAUCAUAUGCUUGUUAUUUUCGAAUAAGAGCCUUCAUGAGUUCUUCCUUUUCUCAAAAUUAUUUUUUGUUCUUCACUUGGAAACUUAAAACUCACAUUUCGUUUGUUUGUUCCUUCUCGUUUCUGAUGUUGUAUGCUUUGUAUUUUGGACCUGAUAAAGACUCGUUGCAGGUGCUAAACACCUUAGAAGAAAUUCAGGAGAGACAUGAUGCUGUCAAAGAAAUUGAGAGAAAGCUUCUUGACCUGCAUCAGGUUGUUAUCUUUAAUUCCAUAAAGCACUAGAGAGCCUUCUUUUUCUCAUAGCCUUUUGUUUGCCCUGCGAGAUCUGAACCUUUAAAAACCACUUGUUUGACAUGACUGUAUUCUGCAUCAGAUUUAUCUUGAUAUGGCUGUCCUAGUUGAAGCUCAAGGAGACAUGCUGGAUAACAUCGAAACUCAGGUUUCAUUUCGAUCUUCCAUCAUUUUUAUAGAUCUAAACAUACGAAGCUACAAAAUUCGACGUGAAUUGCAUUAUGCCGUGUUAACGGGGAUCUUGUUCAGGUGUCAACUGCAGUCGAUCAUGUCCAAAGUGGGACAACUGCACUUCAGAAUGCAAAGAAACUUCAGAAGAAGUCUCGAAAAUGGAUGUGCAUUGCCAUUAUUAUUCUCUUAAUAAUAGUAGCUAUUAUAGUUGUUGGGGUAAUUAAGCCCUGGAAGAGCAAGGGUGCUUGAGUUUGAGUCCUUUUUUUUUUUUUGUGCAUUCAAGUUGCCUCCAUAUAGAUGUCUGUAAUUUUAGUUGUCAGAAAAGCCUCUCACUUCCGGCCAUUCUUGUGUGUUUGUGCAGUUUUAUCUCCUGCAUUGUCUGAUUUUCUUCUUCUUUUUUUCUUGUUCUUUAUAGUUUCAUCACUUGUGUAAUAUAUUUGUUUUCUUGAUGAUGCUGAUUUGGUUUGCCAAUUUGUAUGUGAGUUGCACAGUUCAUCCUUCUAUCAUGAUGAAAAAGUAAGUGGCAUUCAUUUGUGACUAAUUCUUUGAACGUGUCUUGGCUUCUUUAAUUUCACAAAAUAACAAACAAAGGAUAAAAGCAAGAAAGAUUUUCUCUUGUGGAUUUUUUUUUUUUUUUUUUUUUUUUUAAAAAAGGGGAGUAGAUAAUUUAAUUUUCUUGAUAUGUUUAAGAAAAUUGUUCACAUAUGGUUUCAAGUAUGAGCAGACACCGUGUGGUCAAAGUGUGUUCUAACUUCUACAUCAUCAAGCAAAGACUAAAGAGGUACCUAGUUUCAACCCUUUGACCUCUACCCCAAAUAUUUACCUGUAUUAUAAGAAAACCUUUUAAUAUAUUUUUAAACAUUUUUUUAAAAAGUUUUUUCCUGAUAUUUUACAGUCUUUUGUAAAUACUUCAUUUUAAUUGAAACUAUAAUCAUGAAGGAUUCAGACUUCAACUUUUGGAUCCUACUGAUACUCCCUAAAGAAGAUGGAAUGCUAAAAAUUUGUUUGGAUUGCGAUUUUUUGUACAAAAUUUUUUACGUUUUUCGUGAACAUAUUUUUUAAUUAUUUUUUUAUUCUACAUAUAUCAAAUUAUUAUGAUACAUUUUUUUUUUUCAAAAACUUUUAAAAAUAGCAAUAAGUACUAAUUUAUGCAAGUAUUUGCCUUCUAUCAGUUUUCUAUCAUCAAGUGCCAAGCAUAACCUAACAGCGGAGAAGACUUUAAGUGCUCUCUCCUAAGUCGACCCAGUGAUUUUUCUACUAGUAGCUUUCAACAAUAUUAAGUCUCUCCUGAGUCGACCUAGUGGUUUUUUCAUUAGUAGCUUUCAACAAUAUUAAGUCCGUAAUAUAUCACCUUUACUUUUCAGGUAUUUAAUCCUUGAGGAUGUCGAUUUCAGCUAUUUUUACUGUCUUUUGAGGAUUUCUUUGGGCCAAAUCAAAAUUUCUUGGGUCAGUGGAAAUGGCCAGGUUUUCUUUUGAAUUUCAAUGCGUAUACACAGAAAUUAAGUCUUACUUUUUGAAGGAAAUGACAAUGUUCCAAUCCAAUUUGUUCAACACUUCAAUUUUUUUUUCUUUUGUAUUAGUAAUAAGAAAAAAAAAUAAGAAUUUCCUUGUAGGUUUUGCUUAGUCUAGUUACUGUACAAAUGAUCUAGCCUAAUGAUUAUGGACUCUUUUCUUUAGGUUCAAUUUUUGGACGGGAUCAAGGGUACAUUUUUGCAAUUUGCAUCUAUUAAUCAUCUACAGUACUUAAUGUUUUACCUACUUAAUUCAAAAUGAGUUGAAUCUUGCUCAGCAUUAUGGUCCAAUUUGACCUGAAUCAAUUAUAAUAAGUAAGCAAUUACUUCUUUAAUUCUUUUUAUUGAGAAGGAGACAUUUGCUGGCUUACAUUUAAGGUACGGAUUUAUCCUGUUCUUUAGAAAAGACCCUUGUUUUUUCCACCUUCUGAUUCCCCUUAUCACCAAAUUUUCUUGAUUUAUUUCUUACAUCCACAUUUGGUUCAUUUUUAAGCAGAUAAAAAAGAAAGUUGUUUCUAUGAGCACCCUUGAAGAUGAGACUUUUAAAUAUUCUUAUUUUUUUUUAAAACGCUCACGGGGAAAUAUAAUUCUUGGAAAACCUCAAAAAAUAAUUUAGGGGUUACUUUUUUCAUUUUAUUUUUUUUCAAGUUGCUCUGAAAAAAAAAUUAAACCCAAAUAGAAUUAGCAAAUCAUAGUUCUAAACAUAAAAUCCAAUUUGUAAGCAAUGCUGAUCAAUAGUUAUACCAUAUCUUGCAUCAAUAUACUCAUAUUUUCUUAUUUUCUUGUAUAACAAAUGAAAGUACUAUGGAUAUUUCAAGUGGCCAAGGGUAGAUGAAUGCAGGUUCACUUCAGAGCACAAAUUAGGCUUUUGUACUAUAUAAAUUAUUCUUCAAAAUAAAUUUUGGACCAAAACUUUAACUUAAAUUUCAUUUUUUUUUGGUUAAAAUAUGAUUUUCUACUUAGCUCUUUUGAUUUAGAGAGAGGUUAUUUCGUUUGAUUAAAAGAAAAUCAUAUUCCAAUGCUAUUUCUUAACCUUCUCUUAUAAACCUCAAAACCUCUAUCAUUGGGUCCUGUUUCUGGCUCUAUAGGUCAAGAAUAUGCAUUAUUUUGGGUGUAAACCAACCCAAGAAAAGAUACUAUAUUAAUUGUCAUAAUAUAUAUGUACAUGUUUAUCUAUAUAAAUCUUGAAGGAGUAUAUGCAUUUGUGUUUUAACAUGAAUUUCUUCAUUUUUCUUGGGACUAAAUGCUUGCAUUUUCAUGUGGUUCUUGAAAUAUUCUGCCCUCUCACAUGGCCACUCCUUAAAUUUAGCCAUGUAAAAUUCUAGUUUUUUUUUUUAUCCAAUUCUUAGUGUGUGUCUGUGUUUUUAUUGCUUUUAAUUUUCUUUUUCAUUUUUUUGAGGACCAUUGCAGCAUUUCUCUAUCUAAGACUUCUUUGUUUUGCAUAUGUAAGGCUUCUUUUUUAUUAAUUUGUCCAUAAAAGUGAGGAGGAUGACAGGUGCAAUGUACCAUACUUAUUUAGGUUAUUAAAUUGGUAGGUUGUAGCCAAUUUCAAAUUGAAUUGGCCCAUCAAUAGUUGUUUUUUAUUUUAUUUUUAUUUUUUAUGAAAGACCCAUAAAUAGUGGCUACACUACAAAAUUGUCAAAAUUUGUCCAACCAGGAAUUCAUCAAUGAACACCACUAUAGUGGUCAUCAUCUACAUUUUAUACAGUCAAUCAUUAUUUGUAUUUUCUUUACUUUUUUCAAUAUAUAUAUAUAUAUGCAUAUAUACAUAUUAUGUUGGUAAGCUAUAUAUAUAAACUUAUAUAGCUUUAGCUUGAUAAGAAUACACAAAUCAAGGGGUAAAAUUCUUAAAAAAAUACAUAACACCUCUUAACUAGUAACUGCCUACAACUUUUGCCAACUUUUUUAUAUUAUAAUUUAUGAACUUUCGAUUAAUCUUUUGUACUCAUCAUCCUGUAAUACCAUUUUACAUGAGAAUAUUUAUUAUUUUUUUUGCAACAUAAUGUGGAAAUCAUUCAAUAAUGUAUCUUAUCUUAUGGAGUCUGCUAUCUAGGAUUUGUUAUUUCUGUCAGAGUUUGCCAGGAGCUGCAUGAUACUAAUUUACUCAUCUAAUUACAUUUUUUAGGAACAUAAAGAAACUAAUAGCUAGGUUAGAAGAAAUGUACUAGAAAAACAAUUCUCAUGUUGCUUUUCUAAGACUUUCUGUAGAUUGAGAUGGUCUUCAGCCACCUUGUACAAUUCAUUCUUUUUUUGCAGUAUUAGCAAUUGGUCCAAGAAAAAAUUGCAUCCACAUUCUGCACUAAUGGUUGGAUGAUUGAUGUUUUAGGCUCAUUGGUACGUUUUAUGGUAUCUUUGUAGGUUAGAAAUGCAGUGGACCAUGUGCACAUGGGAACAGAUGCUCUUCAAACUGCUAAGAAUUUGCAGAAGAAAUCAAGAAAAUGCAUGAUGAUUGCCAUGAUUUUGUUUCUGGUUAUUGCAGCAAUAAUCGUAUUAUCCAUCCUGAAGCCUUGGAAGAAAUGACAGCAGAUCAAACAACUAAUGGUAACUCUAGUGCUAAAUUUGUUGUCCAAUUCUCUUGUUACACAUACCACUUUCUCACAUGUAUGGUAUCCAGAUUCUUUUUGAUUUCUUCAUCUCCCCAAUAAUCCCAAGGUGUCUGUAAGAUUAUUAUCAGAUACAGCCUCCAAUGAAUGAAUAUAACACAAGAAUUUUUUCGUUCCAGUGCUCUCAGAACCCCUAAGCGUUUGUUUCUUCCUCAAAAGAACAAAUUCGUGGUAACAUGCACUUUUUCUUUUCCAGCUGAGUUCUCACAUCAAUUUUUGCCCUAUUACUCAGAUGAUCUGACUUAGAUCAGACAAGUCUAAAUUGUUUGGUUAUUGUGGAGAAUAUGACAAAAUCAUAGUCUACCUCAUUCUGCUAAUUCUGGAUGGUCCUUGCAUAAUCUGGAGUUAACUAGUUUGGUUUGCUUUAAAAAGCAAAAAAAAAAAAAAAUUGGCGAUGUAUGAAACUUUAGAGGUAGCUUCUUGAACCAUUUGGCAUUUCUCUUACUGUUUGAGGACAAAAGAUUUGAGCUGCUUCUAAAGCCUAGUUAUGUGAUAAAAACUAAAAGGGUACUGGGAUCUAUUUUAUGUAUUGCAAAGGAAACUUUAAGUAUCUGUAUCUAGCUUUUUUGCAUUAUCUGAAUAGUGGGUACAAAUACAAUCUGUGGCAAGUAUUCUAGGAGAAUCAUCCAUCAAAGUACAUUUGAUCUUUUUCAAAGUCAUGAUGUGGUUGCUGAGCACUGAUUGCAGGAUGAGCUUGACAAGUUGUAACAUAUAUAUUCCAAUCAAAUGGAUUCAAGUCUCAAACAGAUGCACUUAAAGCAUGAGACUAUCCAACAAUAUUUGGACCCAAAAAAGUUGGCCAUGAUAAUCCAAUCACCUAUGAAAUUAUUGAAAGCAUAAAAACACAUAUUAUUAUGCACAGUUCAAGAAAUGGAAACACAUAAUUGUCAAGCUUUCCCAUCAUUAUACUCGGAAAUUCUCUCACAAUCUUGACUUUGCAAUGACAACGCUAGCAGCAUCACCAAUGUCUGUUGCUCCUGGCCUAGUCCAUGUAUCUUUGAACUGCUCUUCUGUCACUCCUGUGUAAUUAAUGAAUCUGUUAGUCUCUUUUCUGCUCCUAAGAUAUGAAACUAGGACAUGAAUGUAAUAUACUGAUAAUAGUGAAGAAACAAAAAUUAGAAAGGGGAGGAUGUGAUUUGCCUUUGCCCAUAGCAGCAGUGGAAGUGAUGCCUCCCUGGACCGUCCUCAGGACUCUGUCAUAGUAAUUUGCUCCAGACCAUUUCUGAUGGGCUAGUGUAUCAACCUCAUGGUUCCUUUCCUCUCUUUGAAUUUUCUCCACAUAUGCAAGCAUUCCUCUUCUUGCAAAAUCCUUAGCAAAUGUGUCAACAAUAAGAGCAUCAGCAUGGAAACCAGCCACGGUAAUGAACUGCCAACAAUAGCCCAAUUUGGCAAUUCUGGGAAUGAAAUCUCUCAUCUGCUCAUCAGUCAUUCCUGAUGCAUCCCAGUUGAAAGAAGGUGAGAGAUUGUAAGCCAACAUGAUCUCAGGGCACCUGGACCUCACUCCUUCAGCAAAUUUUGUGCAUUCAACCAAGUCAGGGCCAGCAGUCUCCAUCCAAAUUAGAUCAGCGUAUGAAGCAAAAGCCCAGCCACGAACAAUAGCAGCCGUCACAGAUCCCUUAAAUCUGUAGAAACCCUCUCUGGUUCUAGGCAGGUCCCAAUCCCAGAAAAUAUUAAGUCCCAUUCUUUCAGCAAUCAGUCUUCCUUCCUCGUUUGACAAGCAUUUCUCGAAACUUGAAUGAUACAUCCACUCGUCCAACCUCCUCUGCUUCUCAGCUUCACUGAUAUUCAUCCUCUUGAUUCCAUCAACUACACAAUCAGAAAAUGUUUUCAAUCGUGCCAUUGAUAGCCAGUUAUCCUCAAUAGCUUGAAGCUCUGGUCCUGUUUUACCAGCAGCCAUUGCUUCACCUAGGAUAGUGGCUAAACUCUUCCCCUUGAGUUGUGGAUUAGUAACACCCAAAAUGAACUGAUGAUCUCUAGUAUCAACAUUGGUUUGGAUUAAUGUUGCGGCUUCCGCAUCGGUACGAGCAACUAAAACUGUCUCUGUACCCAUGAUAUCAAAUUGUAGCCUGGCAGCAACCAGCCUAUUAACGUGUUCACUCACUGCAACAAGAACUUUGCCAGCCAUGUGACCGCAUUUUUUGGUAACGGAGGACUGAUCCUCAAUAUGGACUCCAGCAGCUCCACGUUCCACAAAAAGCUUGCAAAGCUUGACAGUUGCAGUUGCACCACCAAAUCCAGUAUCGCCAUCAGCAAUGAUGGGCUUCAAGUAAUCAAUAUAUGGAGUUCUAGCCCUCUCUUCACGGCUCAUGCCCAUUCUGGCCUCCCUUUGUUUCCUGUCAUGGUAUUGUUGAGCGAAAAAAAGGUGCUCAACCUUGUUAGGAACGGUAUCAUAGGGAUAAUCAGCAAGGUCAGGUCCUGGUUCAUUUGAGGUAGUGUGGGUGGAUGAGCAUUGCCAGCCAGAGACAUAGAUGGACUCCAGAUGCUUGGCCAUCAUGGUGACUUGAACAGGAUCAAGAGCACCAAAGGUUCUUGAUGCUGUGCCAUUGGCCUGGUGAGUUUUG
RNAcentral lists this long non-coding RNA (59266 nucleotides) under Coffea arabica (coffee). RNAcentral's name for it is "long non-coding RNA (CARA_LNC003522)". Lineage: Eukaryota; Viridiplantae; Streptophyta; Magnoliopsida; Gentianales; Rubiaceae. The record is from RNAcentral.